RNAcentral lists this long non-coding RNA (49839 nucleotides) under Musa acuminata (dwarf banana). RNAcentral describes it as "long non-coding RNA (MACU_LNC001196)". Lineage: Eukaryota; Viridiplantae; Streptophyta; Magnoliopsida; Zingiberales; Musaceae. The record is from RNAcentral.
CGCAGAAGCUUCCCUUUAAGGUGACCUUCAGGUCGCUUCACAAGGUGCAAGGUGGCUUCACUUUCGGAAGCUUGACUUGGGUGGAUGAUGGUGGGAAGCAUACCGUCAGGAUUCCGAUCGCGGUUCGGGUGAUCAUCGUAGAUUCCUUUUCUGACACCUCCUAGAGUCCAAGUUAUAAGCUCUGGCCUGAGCAUUCGAGACAUGAAGUAAUAAUGGAGCCGAGUUAUAUGUUGCUGUAGCAGUAAGUUCAGUGUUAAGAUGUCUCGAGGAAUAAAAGGAUAUCUGUUUCGUUGCUCGUGCGUAUGAUGAUGAGUAUAAAUCAUCAUAAAUUUAUCAUUAAGUUCAGUGUUAAUCAAAAUUUAUCAUAAAUAAAUAUUUUAUUAAAAUAAAUAUUUUUUUAUUCAUUUAAUAUAUACUUUUCAUGUAUUUCAAUUCAUAACGGAGCUAACAAUAUUUUUAAAAUAGAAAAUAUAAUUAAAUAUAUUUCAUAAUAAAAAUAUAAAUAUAGCUAAUGAGCAUAAAUCAUUGUAGUACUAUCAUUAACUUUUCAUAAAUGAGCAUAAAUAUAACUAAGGGUUUGUAAAUGUAAAUAUUGUAUAAUUAUAUAUGUUUGAACAUAAUUCGUGGUAGUAUGAAUAGCAUAUUAUUUAAUUAUCUAAAAAAGUCAUGAUUCAUCCAUCUAUAAUUCAUAACACAAAUCUAAUUAAUGAGAUUACAAGAGAAUUUAAAAUCAUACCUAAUAUAGUUUUGUUAGACUUAUCGAAUCCAUUUGGUAUCAAAACAGAAACUCGAUAAUUCCUCUUAUUUUUCUUCUUUUUUGUUUUCUCCUUUCUUUCAAUUCUCUCACUGUUCUUUCUCUCCUGCUUGCACGAAUCCCUUUCUUUUUUUUUAUUUCCCUUCUCAUCCUCUGUUUCUUCUAUCUCACACCCCAUCCUGGAUUGCUUUUUUUUCUCUCAUCUUCCUCUCCUUCUAUUCUUCUUCUUCUCCCCUUUUCUAUUUCUUCUCCCCUUUUUUUUCUUCUUCUUUCUUCCCCGACUCUGUUCUCACCGAUGCCUCCCUGUCUUCUCUCUUUCUCUUCCUCUUCUCUCUCUCCUUUCUCCCUUUCUCUUUCUAUUCCUUCCAUCCUCCCUUUCACUCUUCUCCGAUCCCUUCUCUGUUUCUCUCUCUCUCUCUCUGUCCCACACGCUCCCAUGCCACCGCAGCCUCUGUUUUACCCCAUCGAGAGAGAGAGAGAGAGAGAGACCGAGAGGCGGUGGGAAGCUAUGGGGUGUUUAACCAACUAAUCAACCAACGCCGCCGUUGCCGUGUUUUGCAAUUUAAGGUCCUCAGAAAAAAUAAGGGAUUUACAAAAAGACUAUCCAAGGAUGUGCUUAUGCCGACAUAAUUGUGCAUGCUUGCAAUAGCACUUCCAUAAAAUGCUUUAUGGAGGAUUCAGACAAAUGUUUUAAUGUAGCAUAGCAAAUCUCCAACUAGAUGUGUUCUAUUAUAUCUUGAUAAAGGACCUUACGGGUCUGGAAACUUAGCAUAGCAAAAUCCCAGACUAGACAUUCUAUUAUAUUAACUAAACUUCAGCUAACAAUGAUAUAUGCAAGUUUUUAUAUUUUAAAUAACAAUACAUAUGCUAAACUUAAAUUCAAAGAGAGAAAUAUAAAUGUAGCUCGUCGACACACAAGAUCACCUCCACCAUUAACUUCUAUUUCCAUAAGAACUAUGUUAACUUAUCAACGAUAUCACUUAGGUUUGAUAACUUGAUCCACAAGCAAGAAUCCUCAACCGUUUAACAUCAUGUCCUCAGUCUACAGAAAUUGUUCAGCAGAUAUAUCUUGCAUGCAACAACAUAUAACAGAUCAACCAAGGAAUCUCUAAACAAAGGAUGCGAUUUCAACCCUACACUCGAGGUUUUCCUUUGAACAAAAAGAUGCCUCGUGAAUGUUGUGGGAACCCGACUGCAUGACCUCAAAAGAAUCCGGAAGAUGGGAGUAAAACGGACUAGUUAAUCCAAACAAAUUCCCGAAACAGUAUUCGACAUUCAAAUAAUUAAUACAUAUUACGGUUUGUCCCACAACUAAAUGCAGUCAUUCAUUAAAGAAGAAAACUCCAUCAACUAUGAGAAAGGAAAAGCUCAAGGACAUAUGAAAAUUUUAUUUUAGGUUGAAGGCAAGGUUUCAAUCUACUAAGCAAGGUUCCUUUGCCCUAGAGAAUUCUCCAACUGACACUGAAAUCUAAAUUCUCCUUGUGAUCACUGACAGAGCUUACCUCACAGAGAUUUGGCUGCUGCAACAAUACUCUCUGCUGUUAUGCCAAACUCCUUGUAUAUUCUCCCAGCACGAGCACUUGCUCCAAACCGGUCAAUCCCGAUCGCCUUGCCUUUGCUUCCGACAUACUUCUCCCAUCCAAGCGUGACCCCUGCUUCGAUACUAAUCCUUGCAGUGACAGCAGCGGGGAAGACACUCUCCUUGUAUUCGUCUGGUUGCUCAUCAAACAACUCCCAGAAAACAAGAGAUACCACACGUACUGUUUUCCCCUCCUUCCUUAGCUCAUCUGCGGCCUUCGCUGCAAUCUCCAAUUCUGAACCAGUGCCGAUCAAAAUCACAUCUAGUUUGUUACCAGUAGAAUUAUCAGAAAUGGUAAAUCUUCCCUUCUCAACAUCUUCAAUUGAUGUUCCUGGAAGUUGAGGAAGCUUCUGUCGUGAGAGAGCAAGGACUGACGGUCUCUUCCUGUUGAGCACCGCAACCUUGUAGGCCCCAGCAGUCUCGUUCCCAUCAGCAUGCCUGAGCAUCAGAAUGUUGGGCAUGGCUCGGAAGCUUAUCAAAUUCUCAAUUGGCUGAUGGGUAGGGCCAUCUUCCCCAAGACCAAUUGAAUCAUGUGUCAUCACAUAGAUGACUCCUGCCCCAUGUUAGAAAUAAAAUUCAAGGAAGUCGUUCUUGAGUUUGAAAUAAUACUCCUUAUUUAUACAUGUUAGAAGGAAAAAAUUUUCUCAAUGAGGAUUUUUCUUAAUAGAUUUACGAUAUUUUCUCAUGUAAUUAAGGAGAUAUUAGCUGUUGUUAAGGCUAUUAUCAAAGGAGAUCCACUAGUUGAUCAGUCGUAUAUAUGUGAGAAACACGUAGUUGAUAUCUGACAACUUGUUCUCAUACGAAGUGAAAGUCGAUGACUAUGUAUUUCAUGCGUGAGUGGAAUACUGGAUUGACGCAUAGGUAAGUGGCUCCGACAUUAUUACAGUAUAUUGUAGGAGUAGAGGUAAGGUUGAUGUCAAGUUUCUUGAGUAGAUUCGUAACCCAAUUGAGUUCUGCAACAAUGGUUACUAUGACAUAGUAUUCAGCUUCAGUUGUAGAACGUGCAAUUGUCUUUUGCUUCUUAAAACUCCAACUAAUUGGAUUAGGUCCAAGGAAGAUGAUAUACCCCAACGUGGAUGUUCUCUGUCAUCAAAAUUCUCUACCUAAUCAGCAUCAACAAAAGUAUGGAGAUGAAGGGGAGAGUGUUUGCUGAAAAAGAGUCCUGUAAAGAUAUCAGAAAAUUCGUUUGAUUACAGACCAAUGCAUAGUAGAUAGUCAAUGUAUGAAUUGAGAUAAUUUAUUGACCACAAAUAAGAUAUCUCGACUGGUAAGAGAUAAGUAUUGUAAGGAGCCAAGGACUUAUCGGUAUUAAGUUGGGUCUAUAGUAGGGCUUCCAUCACAUAGUUUGAGUGACUCUCUAGUAGACAAAGGUAUUGUAAUUACUUUUAUAUCUUACAUGUUUGUUUUAGAUAAUAGAUCUUGAAUAUACUUUUGUUGUGAUAGGAAGAGUCUUGAAGAUGUGUAUGUUGCUUCUACACCCAAAAAAUAGCUCAAGGUUCCUAGAUCUUUAAGGGAGAAUCGAUCUGCUAAAUGCUUGAGGAAUGCCUUGAUUUUCAAAGGAUUAUUGUCUGUGACAAUAAUAUCAUCCACAUAUACUAGAAUAUAUAUUAUAUUAACACUUUGGUGACGAGAAAAUAGGGAGGUAUCAGACUUGGAGUUGAUGAAGCCAAUUGAUGACAAAAAUGAGCCAAGUUCGAUGUACCAAGCUUUUAGAGCUUGACGAAGAUCAUAAAUAGCUUUUUGUAGUUUACAAACAUGCUUUGGAUAUUGAGGGUAGAUGAAGCUAGGAGUUACUGCAUGAAGACAUCGUCAGUUAGGGUCCCUUGUAAAAGGCAUUGUUAACAUCGAGUUGUCAUAAAUGCCAGCCUUAUGAGAUGGCCAAACUCAGAAUAAGUCGAAUUGUUGUGGGUUUAACAACAUGACUAAAUGUCUCUGUGAAGUCAAUACCAGGAUGUUGAUGAAACCAUUUGGCCACUAGACGCGCUUUAUAUCUGGCAACAGAUCUAUCUAAGUUUCGCUUAAUUUGAAAGACUCACUUAUACCCGAUGAUGUUUUAUGUGGGAUGAGAGGGUAUAAGGGUCCAUGUAGAAUUAUGGAGGAGGGCAUCAUAUUCUUCACACAUUGAUUUACGCCAGUAUGGAGAUUUUUGGGCUUGAGUAAUUGUGGUAGGUUCAGUGAUCUCUGACGAGGAUGUUGUGAUGGUAUGUAGGUUAAGGACUAGUCAUGGUUUAAAGACACCACUUUUGGAGCGCAUUGUCAUAGGAUGUCCAGGGGUUACAGGGUGUGUUGUAGGUACAGGCGGUGGAGAGGCACUAACACGAGUUAGGGUAGGCUGGGGGACUUCAGUGUCAUUGGUCCUAGGAGAGGAUAAAUAUGGUGGUUGUGUUUCCGAGGGCAUACCUUCAGUCGUAGAGGAACCUUGUGAAGAAGAGAGAGGCACAACAGAGAGGGUGAGGAGCUGUUAAACCAGGAGAAGGAGAUAAUGUGGAUCCUAAGGAGAAUGACUGGAUGGUAGGUGCUAUGGGAGACUCGGUUGACGGGAUUGAUGACAUACUCCAGUGAUAUAUAUGUGAUGGAGUAGGUCACACAGCAGGAGACUCAAGGUUUUGAAAUGGAAAGGUAGUCUAUAUAAAAAUAACAUGACGGGACGUAAAGACUUUUUGAGAUUGAGGUUCAUAGCAUCGAAAGACAUUAUGUUCAAGGGAGUAUCCAAUGAAAAUGCAAGGAUUAGAUUUUAAUGUUAUCUUAUGUGAGGCAUAGGGACGGAGCCAUGGAUAACAUAAACAUCCAAACACUUUGAGUUUUUGAAGGUUUGGGGAUUUAUGAAAUAGUUUUUCAAAUUAUGACUCGUACUUGAGGACUGGAGUAAGCAUACGAUUAAUGAGAUAGAUGACAGCUUGAAAUGCUAUAGUCCAAAAGGUUGUUGGUAUAGAGGCUUGGUGUAGGAGUGUGAGACCAGUUUCAACUAUAUGUCGAUAUUUGCAUUCAAUAGAGCCAACGAGUUGAGGAGUAUGUGAGGGUGACUUGAGGUGUUGUAUACCACAAGUAGAGAGGCAGGAUGUGAGAGAUUGAUAUUCGCCUCCACCAUCAGAGUAAAUAGUUUUAAUUUUAGACUAAAAGAAGUUCUUUACCAAUCUUCGAAAAUUGGUAAAGAUUGUUGAAACUUCAGAUUUAUGGUAAAGAGGGUAUAACCAUGUAUACUUGGUAAAAUAAUCUACAAAAAUAACAUAAAAUCUGAACUUGUCAAAGGAAGUGAUUGGAGCAGGGCUCCAAACAUCAUUGUAAAUAACCUCAAAAGGUUUAGAGCAGGAUAUGAAGGAUCUUCCGAAGGGGAAUCUAUAACUUUUAUUGCUUAAACAAGCAUCACAAUGAGUUAUAAUAUUAUUGGUUUUAAGCGUAGAAAGAGAAUAAUAUGAAAGUAAUUUUUGCUGGAUAAAGGAUGAGGGAAGAUCAAGACGACGAUGCCACACAUCAGUUGGAGCUACGACAGAAGAGUAGGUAGUAGGCUGAGUGAUUUGAGAAACUAACGAUCACUCAUAAAUAUUAUCCUUACUCUGAUCUCGGACCAAGGACUCCAUGCUUAAAUUCUUGACAAGGUCGAGAUCCUUAUGGCAGCUCUCAUCUCUCAUAUAGUCGGUGAAAACAAAGAAAGUAGCACAGUAAGGGAGAAGACCAGGGCUGUGAAGGGCAAUGCCGUUGCAGAUGGCACCCAUCCCAUGUUCUUUAACCCCGAAACGAACAUUCCGUUCAUCAGGUGUGCCCGUUUGGAAGUUACCAAACAUCUUCAACAAUGUCAUGUUGGAGGAUGCAAGGUGUACUUUUGCAAGUGCAUUCAGGUUCUGCUGCGAUAAAUUUCUAGUUGCAUCUGCAGGACUUUCAGGAGUAUAUGUUUGGAAAAGAAGCAAAGAAGUUAUUUUCUAGUGUAAUCCAUCUCACAACUAUAAUAACAGAUAUUGUAAGAAGAACGGAAGGUGAAGGGUCAAUCGAGGAGGUGGUCACCGGAAGUGCUUUCUCCCAUCUGGUAGGCAAUUCUUCUGAUAUGAUAGCUUUCAGCUCUGCAGCAUCCUCCUUGUACUUCUCUUCAUACUCCGCAAAUCUGGCAUUCCACUCAGCUUCAAGAGCAGCACCUUCAGGGACAUGGCACCAGUGACUGAAGCAUAAAACCAGUGCAUAUAUUCACAUAACAAAAAAAAUAUUAUUUUUAUUCGACAAUUAUAGUAGGAAUUACAAAGUUUCUGGCCUCUUCAUAGAAAGGUUCAUAUGGCCAUUCGAGACUUUUCCUAGUUGCAUCAACUUCCUUGUUACCCAAUGCACUUCCAUGUACGCUGUAUGUGUUUGCCUUGUUUGGUGAUUCAUAUCCAAUGGUCGUAGUGACAUGGAAGAAUUCAGUAUUUCGUCAAAAUUCUGAUACUCCGAAAGCAAAUGCAAACUAGUUGAUCAUGUCCUUGAUAAUAGGAAUAUAAAAAGAAAUAACUUUUGUAUAUGAACAAAUAUUAGCAGGUCAUAACAUGUAGCGGAAUUAAAUUGAACCAUAAUAAAAUAGAACAUCAAGAUAUACGUGAAAAACCCCUUCAAUGUGAAAGGUAAAACUCAUGAGGCAAACUAGAGAUAAUUUACUAUAAGAAUAAUGAAUAUAUAAAUCUCAAUCUCGUGUUGAAAACCCUAGCAACAAUCACAAGAGAAUAACUAGGAUACAUGGAUCACGUCACUGUGCAUAGUAUCUAAAUCCUCCCUAAUUCUUCUUAAGUAAUCACAGUAAGAAUCUACUAUAGAUCUGAUCUAAUAUGAGAUGAAAACAUUGCUAGAUGAUUGAGAACAGUCUAUCUGUGUUGUCCUUAUCUUCUUCUCUUUUUUUCUCUUCCUUUUCUGCCUCUUUUUAUAACCACCACACCCCCCUAAUAUAAAUUAGGGUUAGGUUAAGAGGGGGUGAGUUAUGGGCUGAUAAAGCCCACCUUGGGCUGAAUAUGGCUUGUCAGCCCAACAACCUCCCCCUUCAAACCAUAAGGGAGGCUAUCCCAAGACUCCUCAAUAUGAAGCCUUGCUGACCAACUGUCGGCAUAUCUCAUGUCUUUCUUUUGGUAAGGUCUUUGUCAACAUGUCUGUGUGAAUUUUCUGAAGCUGCAACUACUUCUCUUCAAAUACAGUGGUAUCUGAUAUUUAUAUGCUUUGACUUGGAAUGAAACAUUGGAUUCUUACAUAAAUGAAUGACACUUUGGCUGUCACAAUGCAUCACAUAAUUUUUCGGUUUCAGCCCCGAUUCUUGUAAGAAUUCUUUCAUCCAUAACAUUUUUUUGCAUACCUCUGUAGCAGCAAUAUAUUCUGCCUCUGUGGUAGAGAGAGAAAUACACCUUUGCAACCUGGAUUGUCAUGACAUAGCUCCCCCUGCAAAAGUAAAUACAUAACCUGACGUGGACUUCCUCGUAUCUAUAUCUCUUGCCAUAUCUACAUCUGUAUAACUUGUCAACACAGGUAGUCUAUCUCCAAAGCUUAAACAAACCUUAGAGCUUCCUCUGAGAUAUCUAAAAAUCCACUUCACUACUGUCUAGUGUUGUUUGACUAGAUUUGCAAGAAAUCUGCUAGUAAUACUAACUACACAUAUGAUGUUCGGCCUCAUACAUACUAUUGCAUACAUUAAACUUCCGACUGGUGAAGCAUAAGGAACCUUUUGCAUUUUCUUCUUCUCCUCAUCACUUGACGGACUCUGUUUUGAGCACAACUUGAAGUGACCUGCAAUUGGAGAACCAACUGGUUUUGCAUUAUUUAUACUGAAUCUUUCCAAUACCUUCUCGAUGUAUUUCUCUUGUGACAAUCAAAUCUUCUUAUUUUUCCUAUCACGAAAAAUUUGUAUACCCAAUAUUUGCUUUGUUGGCCCCAUGUCUUUCAUUAUAAAAAACUUACUCAGUUCCUUCUUUAACCUAUCAAUUGUAGACAUAUCUUUCCCAAGAUAAGCAUAUCAUCAACAUAAAGUAAGAGAAUAAUAAAAUUCUCACCAAACUAUUUGAUGUACACAUAAUGAUCUGAAGCCAUUCUUUUAUAUCUAUUUUCUGUCAUAAAUGAAUCAAACUUUCUGUACCACUAUCUUAGAGUUUGUUUUAGCCCAUACAAACUCUUCUUCAACUUAUAAACAAAGUUCUUUUUACCUUUGACUUUGAAGCCUUCUGGUUGUUCUAUAUAAAUUUCCUCCUCCAAGUCACCAUGAAGGAAAGUUGUCUUCACAUCUAACUGCUCAACCUCCAAGUCCUGGCUAGCAGCAAUACCAAGAACAACACGAAUAAAAGAUAUUUUAACAAAAGGAGAAAAAAUCUCUUCAAAGUCAAUACCUUUCUUUUGACCAAAGUCUUUUACAACCGAUCUAGAUUUGUACUUUGGUUGAGAAUAAUAUUCUUGAGUCUUCAACCUAAAAACCCACUUGUUCUUUAAAGCCUUCAUUUCAUUUGGUAGUAGUACCAAAUCAUUAGUGUAGUUUUUCUGAAAGAGCAUUCAUCUCUUCCUGCAUAGUAACUAACCACUUCUCUUUUUGCUCAAUUUCAACUGCUUCUUGGUAACUCUCUGGUUUACCUGCAUCAAUAAGCAUCACAUACAUAUCUGUAGAGUAUCUUAUGGAAGGUUAACGUUGUCUAGAAGAUCUUCUCAACUGACGUUCUGUGGGAAGUUGCUCUCCAACUUCUUCUUGCUUAAUAUGUCCUGCAGGUAGAUCAACAUCAGACUCUACACUAUCUUCCUACACAUCUCCCCCAUCACCCUUAUAUACUAGAGGAGUAACUGGAUCACAAUCUGCUAAUCCUUCUGCAGAAGUCUUUGGCCGAUGUCUUCUUCUUCAAAUCUUCAAAGGUUUGAUCCUCAAAGAAGACUAUAUCUAUGUUUUUGAACACCUUCUACUUUUUUGGAUCCCAAAGCCUGUAACCAAGCUGAUCAUGAGUAACCAAGAAAAAUAUAUUCUUUAGUCUUACCAUCCAACUUGGACCUCUCAUUAUCUGGAACAUAUGCAAAUGCACGAUAACCAAACACUCUCAGAUGCUUGUAGAAAACAUCUUUCCCUAACCAUGCAUGCUCUGUAAUGUCACCAUCUAGGGCUGUACAUGGUGACAAGUUGAUCACAUCAACUGUAGUCCUCAAAGCCUCAUCCUAAAACCUUUUGGGUAGUUUGGCCUGUGAAAGCAUACAUCUAAUCUUUUCUAUGAUGGUGUGGUUCAUCCUCUCUGUAAUUGCAUUAUGUUGAGGUGUACUAGGAACUGUCAUUUCAUGUUGGAUCCCAUGUGACCUGUAAUAAUCAUUAGAUAAUCCUGUAUACUCACCACCAUUAUCUGAUCUUAUGCAUUUCAAUUGCCUCUCUGUCUCCUUUUCAACCCUGACAUAAAACUCUUUGAAGACAUUAAUAAUAUGAUCUUUGGUCUUCAAAGCAUAGGUCCAAACUUUCCUAAAAAAAUCAUCUAUAAAAGUGACAAAAUAAAGUGCACCACUUAUACCAGAAAUAUCAACAGAUCCACCAAGAGUUUUUGUCCUCAAAGGAUCACAUACAUCAGUAUAAACAUGGUAUAAGACAUGUAUUUUUCUAGACAUAGCAGGACUAGCAAAUGAAACUCUAUGUUAUUUACCAGCCAAACAAUCAAUACAAAGGUUCAAAUAUGUACCUCUGAGAUCUGACAAUACCUCUCUCUUGGAAAGAGCUUGUAGCCCCUUCUCGCUCAUGUGUCCCAGUCGCCUAUACCACAACUCUAUGCUGAAGUCUUUCUCUGUACCAUUUAACUGCUCACCAUAAGCUUUAGCUUGCAACCUAUACAAAGUAUGAUAUUUUUUUCCACUAGCCACAAAAAGAGAACCCUUACUGAGCUUCUAUUGCCCUUUGUGAAAUCUGUUUUUAUAGUUUUCAUCAUCUAGUCUUCCAACUGAAAUUAAAUUCAGUCUUAAGUCAACCACAUGUCUCACAUCCUUAAGCACCAACUUGCAGCCAAUGUUGGUCUUUAUAUGGAUGUCACCCAUACCAAUGAUGUCUGUCGUGCCAUAGUUGUCCAUCUUGACAACACCAAAAUUUUCAGACCUAUAUGUAGCAAAAAACUCCCUCCGUGAUGUAGUAUGAUAAGAAACACCUAUAUCAAUCACGCACUCAAGAUCUUGACACAUAAGAAAAAAUAUCAUCAAAAGGAGACAAAAUCAAAUAAUCACCGCCCUGCACUAUAAUUGUAAUAUUAUCUUUUAACUCUAUAGACUUCACACUUUUUCUAUUUUUCUUGCUCUUCUAAGGUUGCUUACAUUGGUUAUUGUAAUAUUUUUUCUCACCAUAGUUAUAGCAAACAAUAUCUUUUCUUGAUCUUGACUUGCUCCUACCCAUGCGUGAACUGCUUCUAGACUUUGACCGUCCUCUGUUCUCUGAGAUAAGUGCUUGUGAAUCAUUCUGAGAUGUUGCUGAAUUCUUUCUUCUCAACUCCUUAUUCAACAAACUGUUUGUUACUUAACUCAUUGUGACAACACCAUCUGACGUAGAAUUACUAAGGGAAACCACUAGUGUCUCCUAACUUUCUGGUAAUGAACUGAGAAGUAACAAUACUACCUGCAACUCAUCAUCAAGAAACAUUUUCAUAGAAAAUAACUGGUUAGUAAUACUUUGCAUUUCAUUCAAAUGCUUAAUAAUAGAAGCACAUUCUCUAAAUUUUAGGUUUAUAAGUUUUCUGAUCAAGAAAGCUUUGUUACUAGCUGUUUUUCUUUCAUAGAGACCUUCCAAUUUUUUCCAAAGAGAAUAUGCAGAACUUUUAGUAGAAACAUAGUGAAAGACACUAUCAUCAAGCCACUAUCGAAUAAACCCAACUGUUUUUCAAUCUAACCUCUUCCACUCAUCAUCUAUCAUAGUUGUGGGUUUUGCACUAUCCCCUUGGUCCAUACAAAUCUUUGUAAUAUAAAAGAUCUUCCAUUUUUUGUUUCCAUAUUAUCUAAUUGUUUCUAUUUAAACUAAUCAUGCGAGAAACAUUACUGGCCUCUAUGUUCAAACACAAAAAUUAAAUCACCACAACUCUGCUCUGAUACGAGUUGAUGGGAUAUAAAAAGAAAAUAACUUUUAUAUAUGAACAAAUACUAGCAGGCCAUAAUAUGCAGAGGAAUUAAAUAGAACCAUAAUAAAAUAGAACACUAAGAUAUACGUGGAAAACCCCUUCAAUGUGAAGGGUAAAAAUCAUGUGGCAAACUAGAGAUAAUCCACUAUAAGAAUAAUGAAUAUAUAAAUCUCAAUCUCUUGCCCAAAACCCUAGCAACAAUCACAAGAGAAUGAUUGUGAUACAAAGAUCACGUGACUGUGCACAAUAUCAAAAUCCUCUAUAAUUCUCCCCGAGUAAUCACAAUAAGAGUCUACUAUAGAUUUGAUCAAAAGUACUGCUAGAUGAUUGAGAAUAGUCUCUCGUUGUUGUCUUUAUCUUCUUCCCUUCCUUUCUCUUUCUUUUCUACCUCUUUUUAUAGCCACCAUACCCCUCUAAUAUAAAUUAAAAUUAGAUUAAAAGAAGAUAAACUAUGGACUAAUAAAAUUCGAAUAUGAACUGUUAGCCCAAAACUUUGAUGCCCAAAACGCAAUUCUGAAAACAAGAGUCGGUUUGUCUUUCACUGCCUUUGCUUCCAUAAUGGCAGCACGAAUAUCAUCAUACCCGGUGUUUCCAUUCUUCACCCAGAUGGUAUGCCACCCAAGAGCCUCAAAACGAUCAAUAACAUUUCUGUAAAUGCAAUCUGUGUCACCAUCAAUGGAGAUGUGGUUGUCAACGUCAAAAGCGAUAAGUUUCCCUAGGCCCCAUGCCCAGCGAGAGAACAAGCUUCGUUUGCGAUGCCCUCCAUUUGACAACCAUCCCAAAACAUCACAUAUCUACACCAUCAAAAUCAAGCUAGUCUUAUGCACAAAAUGCAGCACACAAAUAUGAGGAAGAUAGAAUUGGGUAAUCGUUACGUGUAAUGGUCAAUAAUCUCAUUGUCAGGCUUAUUGAAACGGGAAACUAGGUGUCGCUCAGCGAGUGCCAAACCAACAGCAUUAGCAACACCUUGACCGAGCGGACCUGCAACAUUUUGUGACAAUUAAUUGAAUCGUAAAAUGAUAUAGAAUCGAACCAGUAGUGACUUCAAUUCCUGGUGUCUCGAAGUUCUCAGGAUGACCAAGGAGUUUUGCUUCCCCAUUGACGGAAUUGCUUCGAGUCUUCCAUCUAAAAUCAGAUUACAAUCAUCGAAACUACUUCAGUCUGAUACAAAUCAAAGCAUGACCACUGAAACCACUGAACACUGAGCUCUCAUUCACAUAAUCAAGGUGAUGAAAUGCAAGAUUUCAAUUAUAUCUAGGAAGCUGCAUCCCAUGAAGUGGAGUGCACUAAUAUCAGCUUUUCACGACAGGCCAUUGCUAAAUAGAUUGGUUAACAUAGAGAUGCCUGAAUGAACCGUUCAAACGAGAAGUUCUCCCACUUUAGAAACUCUAUAAUUCCAACAAAAUAAACAUAGAUAUCCCCACGAUUAAGAACAAAGAAAAAGUUAAGAGGACUACCAUAUCUAUCAAAUUCUCUUCUUGUCAGGCUGAGAAAUAUGUCAAGAAGCAGAAGACUUCGCGAUAGAAUCGAUCAAGAAAUCUAAGAUUUAGCCAAGCAAAAGCGGCCAAAUAGAACUUCUCAUAAACCACAGAUAAGAUCAAAGUAUACGGGUAAAAGAAGAAGAAGAAGAACGAUCCAAAUCUCUGAAGAUAAAGAUGGCAAAAGUAAGAUCACCAUCAAGUUCCCAAUAUUCUUGGUAAUAUCAUCGUCGAAUCUGGAAAUAACUCUCGGGACAGAUCGAAGGCCGUACCUUGACGCUAUCGUAGCCAGCAAGAUGGAGCAGGGCGUCUUGGAGCAUGCAUCCAUGGCCGGCGGAGAGCACAAACCGGUCGCGGUUGAACCAGUAGGGGUUCUUGGGGUUGUAAUUCAUGACCUCGUCGUACAAGAUGUGGCCCAUGGGCGCGCACCCCAUGGGGAGGCCCGGGUGGCCUGAGUUGGCCUUCUCGACGGCGUCGUGGCGAGGAACCGGAUGGUGUUGACGGACUUCUCCACGAGGGCAUCCGUGGCGGCGGCCUCGAGGGUCUCCACCGAGGCGGACCUGGCGGGCGAUGCGCGGCGAGAGGAGCAGGGCUUCGGCCGUCGGCGAGAGGUAACGACUGCCGAUUACUGUUGUCUUCUUUGCCUCGUAUCUCUUUUCACACGUCUAAGAAGAGGGCAAACAGUAACGUGAAAAUGUAAUCCGUUGUAGUUGAUCAGUGGUGCCUCAAUAUCUCACGCUCUUAGCAGAAAAUAUUGUGUUAUGUUUUGAUCGUGCAUUUGCUGCCGCCGUCGCUGCUGCCGGUGAGACCUCCCAGUUGCUAGCGGGAUUGACGCAAGACGAAGCAAGGGGAGCUAUUAUUGCACGAUUCCCGCGCAGCAUCCUCCACUAUGAUGCAGGCGCACAGAGAGCCAACUAUGCCACGGUGGAAACUACAAUGUCUGUUUCCUUGAUUUCCAUUCUGAUCCCCACCCGCCGUGCAGUUAAUUUGGGAAUCUGACCACGGAUAGAUUGACAGUGUCAGAAUCACCGUGGUGCAUGUGAGCCCUGCAUCCAACAUCUGUUGGUUCCAGCUCAUACGUGUGCUUGGACUUUGAGUUCAAAUUUAAUUUAUAAAAAAAAAAGCCUGUAGAGACGUUCGGGCAGCGAACUGUGGCGGCGCUGAGAAAAGGAACACAGAAAAAAAAAAAGGUUAAAGUUUUGAAAAAUCCUUACAAGUUCUAAAAUUUUAAUGAUAUCAAUCUAUAGUUUAUUCUCUUUAAGAUGCUUUCAUACUAUAUUAACUUUAUAAGAUUUAAAUUUUUUUUUUAUAAAAUCUAUAUAUGGUAAUAAUGAUAUGUUAUUCUUGAUGUUAUUAUGAUCAUUAUUUUAGAGAAGAUUCAUUGUAAAUCUAUUAUCAUUAUUAGUGAUAGUACAAGUUUGAAGUAAAUUAUGGUCUGUGAUUUUUUUUGUACUGGGUUUUUCACGUAAAAAUUUCGAUGUCCCAUUGUGUGAUUGAUUUAUUGUUCUACUGUUUAUGCCAUUGAUUAAUAUUUACUUUUGAUAAUAAAUUAAUAUUUUGAUGAGGAACCCAUUUUGAUACAAGGAAAAAAAAUAUUCCGUUAUAACAGUUUUUCUUAACAAGUGGUAUUAGAGCUCUAGGUUGUUUGGUGGUAGUGCUUCUUGUGUGACUACAAUGUAAAGAGUCAAACGGUAUGAUUAAAUUAAACUCAACAAAUUAUUAUACUUGGAGGCAUAUGAUGGAAGAUUUGCUAUAUUGUAAAGAUUUGUAUAAACCCAUUAAAAUUAAAGAAAAACCCUAUAUUAUGGAAGAUGAGGAAUGAGAGGUUCAAUAGAGAAAAACUAUUACCUAUAUUAGAAGAUGGAUGGAUAUAAAUUUGCAUGAGCAUAUUUCUGAUGAAACUAGAGUUGAUAUUAUUUGACAAAUGUUAGAGAANNNNNNNNNNNNNNNNNNNNUGAGAGGUUCAAUAGAGAAAAACUAUUACCUAUAUUAGAAGAUGGAUGGAUAUAAAUUUGCAUGAGCAUAUUUCUGAUGAAACUAGAGUUGAUAUUAUUUGACAAAUGUUAGAGAAUCUCUUUGCGAAAAAGAUAGUGGGAAAUAGAAUUUCUCUCCUUAGAAAGCUUGUCAAUUUGAAGUAUAAAAAUGGUGGUAAUAUUAUUGAGCAUAUAAGCCUGUUUAAGAGUCUUACAAACAAGUUGGUUGCUAUGAAAAUGAAUAUAGAUGAUGAGAUACAAGUUGCUGUUGAAGGUAAUAUCAUUAUUGUUUAUGAUGACGGUUGUGUUAGUCUUGCAACUCAGGACAAUAAUUGAGUAAUUGACUCUAGUACUUUAUUUUAUGCUACUUCUCAUGGUGAUUUCUUUAUAUUUCUUACAUUGCUGGUGAUUUUGAUAAUGUCAGAAUGGGAAGUAGUGGUACAUAUAAGAUUUUAGGUAUUGAAGAUAUUUGCUUGGAGACUAGUAUUAAGAGCAAAUUGAUACUAAAAGAUGUCAGACAUAUUUCAGAUAUUCAUCUUAACUUGAUAUCUACAAGCAUACGUAAUAAUGAGGGAUUUACACAUUUUUUUUAGAAAGCAAAUGAAAACUCACUAAAGGUUCUUUAAUUAUGGUAAAAGGAAAAAAGCUAAACUCUUUUUAUAUCUUGGAAGCUAAGUUACACAAAGAAGAGAUUAAUGUAAUUCAGAAGGGUAAAAGUAUAGAUUUUUGACACAAGAGGCUUGGUCAUAUCGGUGAGAAGGGACUUCAAACUCUUGUUAAAAAAUAGGUCUUAUUAGAGUUGCAAGGUACAUCUCUUAAAUCUUGUGAUUAUUGUUUAGUUGGAAAAACACAUAGAGUUGUCUUUCAUACAUAUUCAUUAUCUAGAAGAUCAAAUAUUAUUGAUUUAAUUUACAUUAGUGUCUAUACUAUGUAAAUUAGAACUCUUGGAUGUAUUCUUUAUUUUAUUACUUUCAUUGAUAACCAUUCUAGAAAAAAAUUAGAUUUUUGCUUUAAAAUCUAAAGACCAUAUACUCGAUGUUUUCUAAAAAUUUCAUAUUAGUAUUGAAAGAAAAACUAAUAGAAAGCUAAAGUGUAUUCGAGCAGAUAAUGGUGACGAGUAAAAGGGUUCUUUUGAGAAUUAUUACAGGUUCUAUAGUAUCAGACUUGAGAAAAUAGUUUCUGAAACUCCUCAGUAAAACAGUGUAGUAGAAAUAACGAACAUAACCAUUAAAGAAAUGAUUAGGUGUAUGCUUUCCCAUGGUAAGUUACCAAAAUCAUUUUAGGGGGAGGCUAUGAUAACUAUAGUUAACUUAAUAAAUCUUUAUUCAUCAGUUCCUUUGAAAGGUGAUGUUCUAAAGAGAGUAUAGAAAGGAAAAAAUAUAUCUUAUAAUCACCUGAGAGUCUUUGGGUAUAAAAUAUUUAUUCAUAUUUCUAAAGAUGAGAGGUUCAAGCUUGAUAAUAAGACAAAAGCAUGUAUCUUCUUGGGAUAUGGUUAUGAAAAGUUUGGGUAUAGAUUAUAAGAUUCAAUGAAUAAGAAGAUUAUUAAAAGCAAAGAUAUUAUGUUUCUUGAAGACCAAUUGUUGUAGUUCAUGAUGGUCAUGAGAGAGAUAAACAAAAAGAUUGUGAUGAGAAUGCCAGUGAUGAUGCUCCUAUAUUUGAUGAUGUUGAACUAACUAAACAAGCACCUCCACUUAUAGUUGAGAUUCCAUUGAGAAGAUCCACAAGAGAGCGACAACCAUAUGCUAGAUAUCCUUCACAUGAGUGUGUUAUGUUUACUAAUGGAAGAAAGUAAAAAACUUAUCAAGAAGCUAUUCUACAUGAGCAUAAGAAUAAGUGGGUUAAAACCAUGCGAGAAGAAAUGAGAUCCUUGCUUGAGAAUCACACAUAUGAUUUAGUAAAAUUGCCUAAAGAGAAGAAAUCUCUCAAGAACAAAUGAGUUUACAAAUUAAAGAUUAAAAAUAAUAGCUCACAAUAAAAAUACAAGGCACAACUAGUUAUGAAAGGAUUCAGUCAAAAGAAAUAUAUUGACUUUGAAAAGAUAUUUUCUCAUGUGAUGAAAAUGUCUUCUAUCUGAGUUGUUCUUGGUUUGGUUGCUCGCUUGAAUUUAGAAGUUUAGCAACUUGAUGUGAAAAUAGCAUUUUUUCAUAUUGACUUAGAAGAAAAAAAUUUACAUAGAGUAAUCAGAAGGUUUCAAAGUUAAGAGAAAAGAAAAUCUAGUAUACAAGGUUAUAAAAAACUUAUAUAGACUCAAACAAGUAUUCAGACAGUGUUACAAGAAGUUUGAUUCCUUUAUGAUGAGUCAAGAGUACAAUAGAACAACAUCUGAUCAUUGUGUAUUUACAAAGAAGUUUUCAUAUGAUGAUUUUAUUGUUCUCCUGCUAUAUAUUGAUGAUGUUGAUUGUUGGUCAUGAUGUUGAUAAAAUUAAGAAGCUUAAAAGAAAGUUAAGUCUUUUGCUAUGAAAUAAAUACUUGACAUGAAGAUUCUUCAUGAUAGGAAGAAAGGGAAGAUUUGACUAUCUCAAGAGACAUACAUUGAUAAGAUUCUUAAAAUAUUCAACAUGAGUAAAACCAAAGCAGUUUAUUCUCCACUUGUAGGUUAUUUCAAGCUUAGUUCGAAACAAUAUCCUAUAAGCGAGAAAAAAAAAUAAAAAAAUAUCUAGAGUAUCUUACUUAUCUAUAGAAGACACUUUGAUGUAUGUUAUGGUUUAUACUAUGUCAGAUAUAGCUCAUUCAAUUAAAGUUGUCAGUCGAUUUCUCUCUAAUCCUGGUAAGAAAUAUUAGGCAGCAGUGAAAUGGAUAUUAAGAUAUCUAAGAGGUAUUUUCAAGUUGUAUUUAUAUUUUGGCAAUAGUGAACCUGUGCUAGAAGGUUACAUAAAUAUAUACAUGUUAAGUGAUACUGAUUCCAAGAAGUCCACUUCGAGAUUUUUGAUGACGUUUACAAGGGGAGCAGUCUCUUAACAGUUUAAGUUAUAGAAUUGUGUUGCUUUAUCAACCAUAGAAGUAGAAUAUAUAAUAAUUACUGAAGCAUGCAAGGAAGCUUUAUGGAUGAAAAAAUUUCUACAAGAAUUGGGCUUGAAACAAGAAAAAUAUACUGUUUACUAUGACAAUAAGAGUGUCAUUCACCUCUCCAAGAAUUUAGCAUAUCAUUCAAGAUCUAAGCAUAUUGAUGUUAGAUAUUACUGGAUUCGUGAUGUGAAAGAAUUGUACUUGGAAAAUGUGUAUACUAAUGAGAAUAGAUCAUAUAUGUUAACAAAGUCUUUGCUUAAGAAGAAGUUUGGAGUAUGUAGGUGAAGAGCGGACUUAGUACAACUCACCAUAUGAGUUGGAGGGGAAGAAUAAUUGGGUCUAAUCCAUAUGUAGGCGUAGACUAGAUGAUUUGGACAUUGAGCCCAAAUUUGAUUUAUUAAAAAAAAAUAAAAACUAUGGAGAUGUGCAUAGCGAGGGUAGCGAACAAGCAUACCUGAUAAAAGGAACAUAGAGAAAAGAAAAAAAAAGGUUUUGGAGAUUUUACUAGAUGAUCGAAUAGUUAAAUUUUAUUGAUUUUAGCUUAAAUUUUAUAUGAAGAAUCUUUAUAAUAAAUUCUACAAUCUUAAUGAUACCGAUCUACAGUUUAUCCCCUCUUGAUUUUACAAUCUAAGAUGUGUUAUGAUUAAGUUAAGAUAUGUAUUCUUGAUAUUAUUAUGAUUUUAUGAUUAUUCUAAAAAAGAUUUAUUAUAAACCUAUUAAUAAUAUUGAUGAUAGUAAAAAAUUAAAAUGAACUAUGGUCUGUCACAUUAGAUUUUUCAUGUAAAAAUUAUAUCGUUAAAACAAUUAUUCGGUAAAAAUUAUUCAUCGGGAGCCUAAGUAUGCAGCAAUAGUUGUCAGGAACCCAUUGCGGACGGUGGCAGCUUUCUCCGCAAGAGGGCCGAGUGCAGACUAUCCGGACAUAGGGAAGGUAUGCAUGCAGCUAUAGUUGUGUCUCUGUUCAUGAUAAUUAUGAAGUCUCCUAUGAUAGAUUGCAAAACGGACCCCUCCCAUAUCUCAAACUUUGAGAAGCUAAAUCAUCAUCUGCUUGAAAGCAAUGAUAAAACCAACCAUAAAUCCUCUGAUAAGCACAAGACGCUGCUGAGGGUCGAUCGUAGCUCCACUGGAAAAUGGAAAAACAGAGCACUGAGCUCAUCCUUUACCUUCUCCUCAGCCUGACAUCACAGCUCCGGGAGUCAAUAUCUUGGCGGCAGUGAGAGAUGGGUAUCAAUUUAUGUCGGGAACUUCAUUGGCUAGUCCUAUGUAUCUGGAAUUGCAGCUGUUCUCAAAGUAGUGCAUCCCGAUUGGUCUCCGGCUGCCAUCAAAUCAGCACUUGUCACCACCGGUGAGUAGGUGUAUCUUUUAUCCGCUCAUUUGCCAACUCUGACAUAUGUAUGUAUGCCUCCGUCUCAAGCAUAUACAACCAACGAACGCAGAAGCGAUUCCACGGAAGCUGGCCGAUCCCUUCGACUAUGGCGGAGGGCAUAUCGAUCCUAACCGAGCAAUGGAUCCUGGACUUAUUUAUGAUAUCGAUCCAAAUGAUUACGUCAACUUCUUUCGCUACACAAACCGUGCAUCGAACAGUACUAGUGGCCAAAAUCACUUGAAGCUGCCCUCAGGCGCCAUUCCUGACCUCAGGAAAUCUGGAGUGGGUAGCAGCCGUACAUAUGAUCUGAAUCUUCCCUCCAUCUCCAUUCCCGACCUGAAAGAAACGCCUGUGAAAGUGCGAAGAACCGUCACUAAUGUGGGCGACACGCAUGGCCGUAGUGCAGUCUCCAGCCGGUGUUAAGAUGGAAGUGCAGCCAUCUGUUAUACACUUCAGGGCUUCCGGCGAGAAGCUUCACUUUGAGGUGACGUUCACGCCGCUUCACAAGGUGUAGGGAGGCUUCACGUUCGGAAGCUUGACUUGGGUUCAUCGACGUGGGAAGAAUUCGGUACGAAUUCCUCUCGCAGUUCGGGUCAUCAUUCGUGAUUUCUUCUCCGACACCUCCUAAGAUUUAAUCCCAUUGUUUGCCACUGGUUACGCAUUCAAGACAGGAAAUAAUGUUAUGUUGGAUACAUGAAAUAAACCUUUUCACAUAAUAGUAAGUACAUAUACGUAGCAUUUAGGAAAACAUUUGGGUGUAUCUGGAAUCAUUUGAAAACCAAGUGAUAAUGUCUAUCCUAUUAUGGAUAAAUUUGAUGUUAAUGGGAGGAAUCCAUACAAUACAUCUCUCUAUUUUGAUUGUCUUAAGUGAAAAUUUGGUUAUGUAAAUUGGAGCUGGAGUCCGAGCUAAUCUUCUUCCUCUUCCAUAUUUGUCUUUUGAUUAUGUUAGGAUGAUUGAAUCCAAAAUACAUCUAAUCCUAUAAAUAUAUUGGGGGUGUAUUUGAUAAAACUCCUCUAAUACUUAAGUUAGUUUGAGGAUUGAUGCAUUUAUAAUACGCUAAGAGUGAUAAGUCAAAAGUACUAAAAGAAUGUUACUCUUUUUUUAGGAAUCCAUAUGAUAGAGCUUUUUAUAACGUAAAUUUUGGAUCAUUAUACUCGCGAACAUAAAUUGAUGUUGGAUAUGUAUAUUCUUUAAUCUAGGUGAAAUUGUUUUGCAUCAAAUCCAAAAAAUAUAUACUAGACACGAUAGAGUCAUUAACAUUUAGAGAUCAUGACUACAUCUUUCAUACUUGAUGGAAGUGGCAUCGAUGUGUCAUCCUUCUGACAUCGAUAUGUGGGUACUUCCAGAUGUCUGUCACAUGACUAUAAGUGGCAUCAAUGUGUCAUCCUUGAGAUAUCCGUCAUUUAGUUCUAAAGUAUAAAUCACUUGAUUAUAAGGUGUCAGAGUCAUCUUUUUUUAGGUAUUGAUUAUUUUAUUAUAUCAAAUUGAUCUCUCAAUUAUAUCGACAUGAUUGAUUUGAUAAAGUUGGAUAAGGUGACUUUAGAUGUCAAGAAAAGGUAUUGGCAUAACAAUGAUUCAACAUUUUAUCGUCCAUCAAAUACUAAAAAAGAAUGACCCAGGACAUCACGUAGGAUGUAGGAACAAUCUUGAUUUUUUUUUUUUUCGGAUAAGGAUAAUAAGAAACAAUAAUUGUAUAAGGAACUGCUGCAAAUAAAAAUCCACGCAAUAGCAUUUGACGUGAAGACUUCAAGUUUUGGGUUUGGACUCUCUUGAAUCUUUGGUGUCUUAACGUUUUAUGUAAAGUAUAUUACUUUAUGGGUGAGUGAAUGGCCGACAUUAGAAAGUUGGACGUCGACAUGGAUGGAAAGAAAUAUCACGGUAACAGUGGAUGCUUUUUUUAUCAUCUUCUUGUCAUGGCAUCAAUUGGUGGCUACUCCAUCAAAUGAGAAUCGAAGCCACGUCCGUUGUAACCAAUGAGAACAAUAAGCCAUGGAUCUGAAUGCCCCUGUUUGAGUCUUCAAAUUGCAAAUUAAUAUACGGAGGUAUAUAUUUCUUAUACGUGAAUAUAUAUAUAUUCCAAAAUUAGAUGGCGUCAAAACAUAAGAAGUUUUUUGUUUGAACCGAGUCUUUGAACGUAUAUUUUCCUACAUGAUAUAAAAAAAUAUUAGAGAUCCUCUAACAAUCCUUGGCUGACAUAAGUUUCUGAUAGAUGAAUUACUCUUAACAUUAAUUAUUAUUAUUUAAUUAAAAAAGGUUAUAUAAGCACGAUUCAAAGUUAGGAUCUUAUAAUGAUCUAUUAAAAUUUUACCCAACUAAACUGACAAGUGAGUGACAUCUCAUUUAGAGCCAUUUGAUUCAUUGUCCUUUUUGCACCUAUGGCAUAGUAGAUUAUUUUUCAUUCCAAAUUAGGAUAAAUUCGGAUAUGAAAGAUACCGGUGAUGUGUGUUGCACGACUAAUAUGAUAUAUUUCCCUUAUCAUAUAAUAAAAUAAUAUCCUUUUAUUUUCAUUAGUCUUUCAUGUCAACAAAGUUAUCCUUGGCUUAAUUCAUCACAAACAAGCUAUCAUUGACCAUCACCACCAUCGGUCAUGUGGCCUCAUAGGCUUAUAAGUAGCGCCAUUGCAGCAACGCUUCUCCUCCACAGCCACAUGCAAGAUGGGUUACCAGCAUCUUCUAUUCUCUAUGCUUCUACUUCUCAUCCUUUCAAGCUUCAUCCAAAUGGCAGCACUUGGACAUACACCAUCAUCGACCAAGGUCCAUGAGCGUCUCUCUAUCAUCUUAACAUUUGAUGUCCACGGACUAACAUCUCAACGGUCUCUUCUGUGUAGCUUCUGUACAUAGUGUACAUGGGAGAGAGGCAACACGAAGAUCCAGACCUCGUGAUUGCGUCGCACCAUCAUAUGCUGUCUUCCGUACUGGGGAGGUAUGCAUUUUUUGCACCAUAUAUAGUUUGUGUUCGUUUCAUCUUUCUGUCAUAUAUGCUCGAUUACAGGUUAUUCUAAUUGGUGAUUCAGCAAGGAGGAAGCCGUGAGUUCAAUUGUCUACAGCUAUAAGCAUGGCUUCUCGGGCUUUGCAGCCAUGCUUACAGAAUCUCAAGCAGACAAAAUUGCAGGUUCUUCCUUCUUCAAUUUCAGGCCUAUUUUACCAGUGACAAUGGAAGCAAGUUCUAAUAUGAUUAACAGCACAACUGAUGAGAACAAUCCAAAAGAUGCAUGCAAGCAUAUAUCUGAAAUUUGAAGGGACGAUAUUGAUCCAGAUAAAUCAGUAUGUGAAAAUAAAAUCUCAAUCACAAUAGUUUUGUGCUUAAUUACGGGAGAUCAAAAGAUUGAUAUACUCCUGAGAGUCGGCUCUUGUGUCGAGGCCACUAAAACAAAAAAUUGGAAGACUUUAUCUCGACCUUUCAUGUGACUUCAUGGUAUUAAUCUAAAUUAAGCCCUUGAUUCCAUGUUGGGUAAUAAUUUUAUAGUUUGUGAUCACCUUAGAAUCAUGAUAAGAAAGUAGGAUUAAGGUGGGCCUUUGAACGCUUCUUUUUAGCUAAACGUCGGGUCAUUAUCAACCUGUUGAAUCGACAGGCUGCUUAAGAUAAGGUUGGUGUAUCGAGAUGAGAGAGAGAGAGAGAGAGAGAGAGAGAGAGAAUCCAUCACGUGUUUAGUAUAUUAUAUCAUAUUUAUACGUAUACAUAAUCCUUAACUAAGAUGAGUAAGCAACUUGAUCAUAUCGCCCUUUUCUUUUCCGGUUAGAAAUGCCGGAAGUGAUCAGUGUCAAUCCAAGCCGCAGCGUUCCACUGCUUACUACGCGAAGCUGGGACUACCUUGAUCUUGGUUUUGAACAACCCCAACCCACAGGACUACUUGCAAGAGGCAACUUCGGCGAUGGGAUCAUCAUCGGCGUCGUCGACACAGGCAAGCAAUCAUUACCUUAUCGUCAUUGAGGUUGCCCGGUCCUACAAAAUUUUCUUAUAUAGGCAUUUGGCCGGAAUCGAGAAGCUUCGACGACCAUGGUUACGGCCCCGUCCCAUCCCGUUGGAAAGGAACGUGUGAAGUAGGUCAAAACUUCACCGUCAACCACUGCAACCGCAAGAUCAUCGGUGCAAGAUGGUACGCCGGAGGCGUCGACCCUUCUCUCAUCGAAGGAGACUACCAGUCUCCCCGGGAUUCCGAGGGCCACGGAACGCACACGGCUUCCACGGCAGCAGGCUCGUUAGUGAGUGAUGCGAGUUUCCAUGGUCUGGGCGCCGGCACAGCGAGAGGAGGAGCUCCUCGUGCCCGGCUAGCAAUCUACAAGGUAUGCUGGGCAGAAGCAGGGUGUCGCGACGCUGCUGUGCUGAAGGCGAUAGAUGAUGCUAUCCAUGAUGGUGUGGACAUCUUAUCACUCUCACUUGGGCGCUUACUUCACCCAAUCUUUCCUUCCAUACAUGCGGUAGCAAAGGGGAUAACUGUGAUCUUCUCUGGAGGCAAUGAUGGUCCCGUCACCCAGACCAUUGCUAAUGACCUGCCGUGGGCGAUCACGGUGGCAGCCAGCACCAUUGAUCGCUCGUUUCCUACCCUCCUAACCCUCGGAGACAACCGAACCGUGGUGGUGCGAACGUGUGGUUUUCACAGACACGCUAAUACAUUUGAAAGUUUGCAUCUAUUUAUAUUGAAUUAAUUGUUCAUGGUUGCCGCGGCAGGGACAAUCCAUCCUCUAUGAAUCCACCGAUGGAGGAUUCGAAGAGCUAGCAGAUGGUGGGAGGUAACUAUAAUUCGAUUGAAUGUUCUUAAAGAAAAUCGUACCUAGUAAUUUGCAUUUGAUCUAUUGUUGCAGCUGCUCGCGGGACGAUCUGAAUUCGAGUGAUGUAGUCGGAAAGAUUGUGCUCUGUUACCAGCUUGCCAUCGCCUCAAGCUCACCACCCAAGCGACACUUUCCACGGGCUGCCUAUAAUGUUCAGGAAGCUGGAGGGAAGGGCAUUAUCUUUGCACAGUACUCCGCCAACAUCCUCGACUUCAUCGACGUUAUUUGCAACGGCACCGUAUGCGUCUUUGUUGAUUACGAGAUCGGCAAACAAAUAACAGAUUAUGUAACGAAUACAAGGUCUGCUCAACUCGAGUUCAGUUUUCCUAAACAGAUCAGAAUUUUCUUUUCGGGAAUAGUAACCACGAAAGGAAAUUGGCAGAUCCCCCCUGGUGAAGGUGAGCCUAACGCAGGAUAUGGUCGGGAGUGGAGUAAUGUCUCCCAGGGUCGCAGCUUUCUCGUCGAGAGGGCCGAGUAUAUUGUUCCCAGAUCUAGUCAAGGUCGGUGCAAUUUCUAUUAUCUACUAGAAGCUCACAUGUUUGGUUCUUUUCGAUGAACUGGUGUGCUCACCAUCACUGCCUUUGGACAGCCCGAUAUCACAGCUCCCGGAGUCCUUAUCCUGGCCGCAGUGAAAGAUUCCUAUAAGUUUGAGUCUGGAACAUCGAUGUCUUGUCCCCAUGUCUCUGGCGUAGCAGCUCUUCUUAAAGCAGCACAUCCCCAGUGGUCUCCUGCUGCCAUCAAAUCAGCACUCGUCACAACUGGUACGUGGAUUUACCAUCCUGCUUCUGCAUCGUUCCGUAGUUCUUCUCUGUCUGCUUUCCUGAUGUUAAAGGAGCAUGACAACCUCUGUUUUAAGCUCAUACGGCCAAUGCAUACGGCUUCCCCAUAGAAGCAGAGGGAGUUCCUCGAAAGCACGCUGAUCCUUUCGACUUUGGCGGCGGUCACAUCGAUCCUAACAAAGCCGUUGAUCCCGGGCUUAUUUAUGACGUCGAUCCCGAAGACUACUUAAAGUUCUUCAACUGCACUUACGGUCCGUCGACCACUUGUGACUUGGUGGACAGUCGGCUGUAUCACCUGAAUCUGCCCUCCAUCUCCAUUCCCGACCUGAAGAAGACACCACUAACGGUGCGGAGAACCGUGACCAAUGUGGGGGACACGGAUUCCAUUUACAGGGCAAUGGGGGAGUCUCCUCCGGGUGUCAACAUGGUGGUCGAGCCUUCUCUUCUUCAAUUCAAUGCUUCCACGACGACGCACACCUUUGCGGUGACGUUCACGCCGCUUCAGAUGGUGCAAGGGGACUUCAACUUCGGAAGCUUGACAUGGAUUGAUGAUGGGAAGCACGCAGUAAGAAUUCCUAUCGCAGUUCGAGUGAUCAUUCAUGAUUCCUUCUCUGAUACCUCCUAAGUCUUGUGGAGGUAUCCGCUCUACGUCGGGUACUAUCGCAAUAAAUGUUGAAGUCGUAUGGGGAAUAAAAAUUAACGUGGUAGGUUGCUUCUGUUAUCCAAAAAUUGAUGCUACUUUUGGUUUAGGCUGUUGUUUUGUACGCUUCAGUAUUUAGCAUCGACGUACCAUAUAUUGAAUUUGAUAAGAAGAACGAGUAUGAUUAUCACGUAAAAGGAAGAGUCUGAUAAUGUAAGAUAUUCUAUCUUUUACUCAAUUUUUUUAUAACUUUAAAACUCUAUAUAUUUCAUGACCUCAUGUUUAUAUAAUCCCAAAGAUAUAUUAUAUUAAUUGUCCUUAAAAUAAAUCACUCUUUUUUAAAAAAUUCUUUCAAAAUCAAUAGUCAAUUUGGUUUAUCCUUUCAUAGGUAUUUAAUCUAUUUUUUCUCAUGAACCUCUUUCUUGAUGCAAUGAACCUCUCUCUUAAUGCAAUAAAUCUCUCUCUUAAUACAAUUAAUCUAACCUCUCUCUUGAUGCAAUGAACCACUCUUACAAUUAACGUAAUCUCUUUAUGAUACUUUAAUAAGUUUAAGUUUAAUUUUAACAUUCUUCCUCCUUAAACUUGUUCCAUCUAAUAUGCUAAGUUUCUUUCAAAGUUAUUGAAAUAUUCUAAAUUUAAAAGUUUUUGUAAGUAUUUUGGCUAUUUGUUCACUUGUCUUGAUAUGAUAUAGCUCCACUUUUUUGUUUUUGACAUGAUCUCUUAUAAAAUAAAAUCUUGUGUUGAUAUACUUCGAUUUUUUAUAGUAGAUUAGUUUUUUGGCUAAAGAAAUAGCUGAUUUGUUAUUAAUAUAAAUCUUGAUUGACUUCUCCUAUAACAUAUGAAGUUUAUGAAGUAAUCUUCUUAGCUAUAUUGCAUGACAAACAUAAGAAGAUGCUGCUAUAUAUUCUGCUUCAUAACUUGAUAGAGUAAUAAUAUGUUAUUUUUUUUUAAGACUAUAUGAAUAUAGUUUCACCAAAAUAAAAUACAAAUCCAAUUGUACUCUUCCAAUCAUCAUAGCUUUCGGCUUAAUCAUUAUCAGUAUAUCCAAUGAGCUCCAACCUUUUGGAUAAUGAAUAAAAUAUUUCAUAUUCGAUUGUUCCUUUAAUAUAUCGUAAAAUUCUUUUCGUGUCAUUUAAAUGAGAUAUCUUAGGAGCUUCCAUAUAUCUACUUAUUAAAUUAACUCCAAAUAGUAUAUCAGGUCGAGUUCACGUCAAAUACCUUAAAUAUCAAACUAGACUUUUAUAAUAAGUUAGAUUAAUAUAUUUUCCUUCACAUUCUUUGGUUAACUUGGUAUCAUAUUUUAUAGGUGUAUUUGUAGGAUGAUAAUAUUCUAUAGAAAAAUUCUUUAGAACUUCAUUUGCAUAAUUUUCUUAUGAGAUAAAAGUUUCUUUAUUGUCUUGUAUAACUUUGAUAUCGAGAAAAUAAGUUAAUAGGCCCAAGUCGGCCAUCUUAAACUUUUUUUUCAUAGAGUGCUUAAAGGCUUUAAUCAUAGAGCUACUAUUGCCUUUAAAAAUUAAAUCUACAUACAAACAUAUAAAGAAGAUAUUUCCAUCGAGUUAAAUUUCGUAUAGAGAGCAUAUUUAUGUGGACACUUGGAAAACUCAUUUUGAAUAAAAUAAGCAUCUAUCAGAGAAUUCCAUGCUUGUGGGGCUUGUUUAAGCCCAUAAAGUGCUUUUUUUAAUAUAUACCUCUUUAUAAAAAAAUUUAUUAAGAAAUACUGAUUUGACAUCAAUUUGUAAAAUUUUCUAUUUCAUUUGAGCUGCUAGGGAGAUAAGUAAUCUUACUAUCUCCAAUCGAGCAACUAGUGUAAAUAUUUCUUCAUAGUCAAUCCCAUAUUGUUGUUUGUAUCCUUUUGCAACCAAUGAGACCUUAUAUUUCUCCACCUUACCUUUUACAUUUCUUUUUGUUUUGAAGAUCCAUUUAACAUUGAUUGCUUGGUGGUUUUUGAAAGUGUUGUAAGCUCUCAUGUAUCUUUUUUAUUAAUAGCAUGAAUCUCCUCAUUCAUAGCUUAUUGCAUUUUUUUUUUCUCUACUAGCUUUUUCAAAAGUUAAUGGAUCAUAUCUUGCAAAAAGAUAGAGUAAAGAAAGUUCAUCAUUAUUAGUAUCAAUCUUUUGAGUCACAUCAUAUAUCUCUUGAAUCAAUCUUAUUUUUCUUAGGACUUCUUGAAUCAUAUGAUCUAGUUGAUCUAGAUGAUGAUUUCAGCAAAGCCUCUUCGGUGCUUACUUGUCUUAUUCUUUUGAAGUUAUAGCUUUCUUAUUCUUAUCCUUGUUAUAUCUCAGAUUUUAAUGAUGAAAUUAAUUGAUAAAUUAUUGAUUUAAUCCAUAUGUUGAGAUAAGUAUUACAAGAUUGACUUCGAUAAUAAAUAAAGCAUAAAGUAGAUAUUGGGUUAGAGUCGAAGAUUGGACGAUAUGACGACGAUUUGGACGAUGUGCUGGAAGUUCGCCAAGAGUUCAUCGGGAGCUCCUCGAGAGUUCGUCAGGAGUUUGCCAAGAGUUCAUCGGGAGCUCACCGAGAGUUCAUCGGGAGUUCGUCAAAAGCGUGCCGAAAGUUCAUCGAGACUUUACCGGAAGAACAAUUGACAUACUAGAUAAAAAUUAUUUAGUUAAUACCUUAAUUAUCAUAAUUAGAACUUAGAUUGAGUUAGGAUUGGGAGGUAAUCUCACUAACUCAGUUAGGAGCUAAUUGGGCCCGAUUUAGGGUAGAGUUAGGCCGGAUGGAAGGCCCACUCGGCCAUUUAGAGCCUUGCCAAGCGGUGGCACUGCCUAGGGUUGGCGAUGGUACCACCUAGUGUCAGAAUGUCAUGCGAUGGUAUUGCCCAGUACUGAUGGUGGUACCACCAGAACCUCAAAAAUUUGAGAUGAGACACUUUUUGGCUCCAAUUUUGAAGUCAUUGGGGCCUAUAAAUACCCCACUCCUUUUUACAUGAAAAGAAAAUAAAAAAGAACAAAAAAGUGUAAAAAAAUCUUUAAGUGUUGGGGUGUAAAACUGUUGUACUAAGGGUCCUCCUCCUCAUUCUUCAGCUUUAAAAUCAUUAGAGAAGAGGUGUGAGACUUAUAAGGGUUAUCUUCUAAACCCGUGAAAAAGAGAAAAACUUUGUAAAAAGGUGGUUGGUCUUCACCUAUUGAAGGAAGACCAUUAGUAGAUAUCGGUGACCUCGACGGAGGAGGAAUCAGAAGUGGACAUAGGUCACAAUGACCGAACCAUUAUAAAUUCGGUGUAUUCUUUCCUUACUACUUUCUUUCAUUACUUAGCUACACUCUACACUUUACAUUUACUCUAAGUCAUUACUUUCCAAUAUGGACUUUGUCGAAAUGAUUUUAUUGAACAAAAUUUUUCAAAUCAACGUAAUUUUUAUCGCUGCACUAAUUCACUCCCCCCCCCUCUUAGUGCAUCCUAACACUCAUCACUUUUUCAGUUCCAAAUUUGUUAUUCAUUAAAUUUAACAUCUCUUGACAUCAUAACUUUAUUUGUGAUAGGAUUAUAGAGUUUGUAGCUACUAAAAUUCUCAACAUAACCUAACAAGAUAUAUCUCUAGCUUUUAUCCUCAAGUUUUAUUUUUUUUUCUUCUAGUAUCUUAGCAAAUGCAACACUUUCGAAAAUUCUCAAAUGAUUGACUCUUGAUUUCCGUAAUCUCCAUACUCCUUUUGGUGUAACAUUACCAACUCGUCUUAUUAGAAACCUGUUAAGCAAAUAAACUAUACAAGCAAUAGUAUCUUACCAAAAUUCUUUAGUAAUUCUUCUUUCCUUUAACAUGCAUUAGACCAUAUUAAUUAGUCCUACUUUUUUUUCUAGGACACCAUUUUAUUAAGGUGUGUAUGACAUAGUGAAUUGACAUAAAAUUUUAUUAUUUCUAUAAAAAUAUUUAAAUUCAUUUGAUAUAAAUUCAUCACCCCUAUCUGUUCUUAAACAUUUAAUCUUAUAACUACUUUAUCUUUCAACUAAAUCCUUAAAUUCUUUGAAUUUGCUUAAAACUUUUUUUUUUCUUUAACAUGUAAACCCAAGUUUUGCCACUAUAAUUAUCGAUAAAAUUAAGAAAAUACUUGCUUCCUUCAAGUGAUAUUAGACUGAUAGGUCCACAAACAUAUGAGUACGCUAGAUCAAGUCAACAUCAUGUUCUUUUUAUUCUUUUGACUUUGAAAGACUUUUUUCUUGCUUGCCCAUGACACAUACUUCACAUAAUUUUGAUGGGUAAUUAAUUCUUGACAUUCCUAUCACUAUAUUAUAUUUCUCUAGAAAUUUUAAAGCCUCAAAAUUUAAAUGAGCAUAUCUAAGAUAUCAUAAUAUAGAAAUAUCUUUAAUAUCAAUUUUAAAAUAAUUUGAUCGAUCAAAAAAUAUAUAAAUGUAAAGGAAAUAUUAUGUUCUUUACUAUUAUCACAUGUGAUAUUAAAUUUAUAUUCUUAUUAUGAAUUAAAAGAGCAAUAUAUUUCAUCUUAAUAUUAUAAUAUUUUUCAAGUAAUUGUCCUAAGCUCAUAAUAUAAUUUAUCAUAUCAGGAACAUAAUAAAUAUCUAAAAUACAUAAUUCUUUCUCAUUAUUAGAUUAAAAAAAAUAUACUUUUUACCUCUUAUUGCUCUUUGAGAUAUAUCACCAAAUGUAAUAUUCUUGAAAUAAUAUGUGAUUUAUGAAAAUAACUCUUUGAUACUAUACAUGUGAUUUGUAGCUCUUAUAUCUAGAUACAAUAUCAUAGACUAAUAUUCUUUCAAAUUAUUAUAACUCAUUAUCAAAACUUAAUUUUUGUUCUUUUCUUACUCAAUAAAAUUUGUAUUAUCAUCUUGAUUAUUAGGAUUAUAAUAAUAUUUAAAGAAGUAGUAUCUAUACCUUUUACAAACAUAGUAUUGUAUUUCAGAUCUUUUAGAAAUUCUAUCACAUCCAUGGUUUCAACUACGUCCUUGACCAUAACCUCAGCCUUUUUAACUUAAAGUUUCUCCAUCACUUUCAUUAUUUUGAUAUUCUUGAUUGGUCUGAUUUCUAUCACCUCUUCCUCUUUAUCCAUGUUCUAUUCCUCUUUGAAAUUUUGAUUCAUAUUUAUUUUCAAGAAUAAGUUUAGUUUGUAGUGCCUGCUUUAUAGAUUUUUUUCUUCUUUUUGUAAGCUUUUAUUCAUGAAUUUGAAGAGAAUCCGUUACUUGUUCUAAAGAUAUUUGUUCCAAAUAUAUAGACUCUUCAAUUGCUAUAAUAAUAAAAUCAAACUUUUAAUAUAGAGAUCUUAGUAUUUUUUUCUUUUAUUCUUUGAUCACUAAUUUAUUCAUCAUUUCAUCUCAUUUGAUAAAUAUUAGAAAUGACUUUUAAAAAAUAAGUAAAAAUAGAUUUAUAAGUACUUUGUUAUAAUUUUUCAAACUCAGCUUAUAAAUGAAAACUUUUUACCUUCUCCGUACCACCGAAUGCUUUUUGAAGCAUUUCCAAAGUCUUUUUUGAAGUCUUUGCUAGAGUGAUGAUCUCAAAUAUUAUAUCAUCAAGCCCUUGGUAGAUCGUGAGCAAAAUUUUUUUCUCUUUCUUUCUUCUAUCUUUAAGUUGUUUUCUUGCUUCUAUAUUCAUUGCUCCUUCUUCUUCUGUUAGACUUAGUUCAACAAAUCCAUCUUUUACAAACUCUCAUACAUCUUGGGAAUCUAGAAGAACUUUCAUUUAGAUACACCAUAUAUCAUUUUUUUUUUUUGUCAAUCUAGAAAUUUAGAGUUGGAUGGUGCUUAGGGAAGAGGCUAUAGCUUAACUUAAGUUCUAAUACCAAAUAUUAAACUCGAUAAGAAGAAGGGAUAGGGUUAUCACACAAAGAAAUAGUAAUAUAAGGCAAGAUAUUUUAUCUUUCACUCAAAAUUCUUUAUAAUUUCAAAACUCUAUACGUUUCAUGGCCCGAGGCUUAUAUAUUCCCCAAAGAUACAUUACAUUAAUUUUACUCAAAACGAAUCAUCUCCUUCAAGAAAUCCUUUUAAGAAUCAAUUGCUAAUUUGGCUAAUCCUUAUAUAGGCAUUUAAUUUAUUUUUCUUCUUGAUGCAAUGAACCUCUCUAUAAUGAAUCUUUUUUUCUAACCUCUUUAAAAUAUUUUAAUAAGUUUAAUUCUAACACCACAGAUUAUAAUAUAGAUUUGAUGGACUCAUUUUUUUCAUAAUAACUUACAAUUUGAAAAUCGGUCUUCACAAAAUAAUUCAACUCUCACUUAUCAAACUAUUUUAGAAGUGAAUAAUUUAAAUGAGAACAUGAUGAAAUUAAGAUAUGAUAAAAGUAUUAUAAACAUGUAAAUAUUUAAUGGGAAAAACAUAAACAAAGCUAUGAUUAGCAAUACCAUCUUUAUGACAUACAAAAAAAUCCAAGCUUUGGAUAUCCAACGUUAUGACAUCAAGUUAAACUCCCUAAUUUAUUUUUUGGAAUUUAAUGAUAAUUUAAUAAAUAAUUAAUGAGAAAGAAAACCUAAUUUAAGUUGUCAUAUCCACUGAUGAUAAAGAAUGUUGCUCAUAUUAAUUCUUAAUUCAUGUCUUGAUGGAAUACAUCAAGACAUUUGACUCUGGUCCUGCCGUCCAUAUAUAUAUUUGCAUUAAUCACGAAUGCCAAAGUACAUGAUUUUGGGGGGAGAAACCAAAAUUCUACUCGUCUGAAUUAUCUUUCAGGAUAUUUAGAUUUUCUCAAAAGAUAAAAUUUUAGACAUUUUCUGAGAGAUCAAGAUAUUUCAAUUAAAGAAUUUUUUUUCAUGAAAUUAACUAAUUCUAGUCCACUAUGAUGUUUCAUUUUGUACAUGAAUAAAAUUGUUUAUAUGUGGCAUCAGAGCUAUGAUUUUAGACUUAUGAUUUUUUAUUAUUUAAUUUUAUUUUUAUUAUCAAUUAAAAUUAUGAUUAUAAUAUUUUAUGGUAAUUUCAAUUAUAAUUUGUCUUAACAAUUGAAUUUAACUUUGUUUAAGUUAUACCGAUCAUAAAACUCAAUUCACUCUUUUUUUUAAUGAAAUGAAAGUCUAUAAGUCAUAUUAUGGUAAUGAAUUAGAUUAUAACAUUAUAGUUUUAUUUCAUAUAUUAUGAGCUAAAAUCAUGAGUAAUUUAAUAUUUAUAUAUUAAGUGGUUUGUUAGUCAGCAAAGCCGCGAAAGAUUAUGAUUACAUAAACAUCAAUUAAAUAAAGUUCAUAAAUAAACUCUCCAUGAUUUGUGGCUGCUUAUUAAUGAUAUGAUGGUAUAUUUUCUAAUUAUUAUAUUGAUAUUCAUAGUUUAUAAGAACUUUCAGGAUCACCCAAAGGUUGAACUAUUAUUUUUAUAACGCAUGAAUAUAAAUAUAAUAAUUAAUAUAUUCAACUAUAUUUUUUUAUAUAUUUAAAUAUAGUAAAUAUAUUUGAUUUGAAUAUAUUCAAUUAUCAAGUAAAGUGAGAUAUAUAAAAGCAUUAUUGUAGUUAUAUAUCUUAGUUUGUCCGACAGGAUGACUCGGUAAUUUAUGAGAUAGUGUUUAAACUCGAAGCAUUAAAGUGAGAGUAUUUAUCGUGUAUUAUGUAGUGUGUCAUUCUAUCAUUUUAUUAGUAUGCUUCGUUUGUUACAUCAUUUAACAAAUUAAAUUUCUUUGAUUGAUGUGAAUAAGUCUAGUUUCACCUUUGGUGUUUUGAACUUUUGAUUGGUUGAACCGAUUUAAUUAAUCAGCUAGUUUAUUAAAAUGAUGGAAAGAAAAGAUAAUAAUUAUUAAGAAAAAAAAAUUGUUAGAGAGUUGCUUUUAUCAUUUUAAAAAUUUGGAGCUCUAUGUGGAAAUUCCCCCCUAUCACACUGAAAAGCGAAGUAUGAGUUUUAUUGUUGUGCUCGAUGAGACUUGCAAAGGUCCGUGCGUCUACCAUGGUGCAAUAAUGCAUCACGGUUCCCAUCAUCGUAGUGGAAUACGUAUAGCAUCUUGACGGAAAGGCUUGACUUAGUCAAUCAAAUCAUGUGGUGAAUAGGCGACAUGAAACAUGAGAUGAAUGCUCUAUCCAAUCCAAAACCAUCAUCUACUCGUCACGUCAGUUGGAUCGAAGAACAAUCUGGUCCAUCUCUUCCAAUCCAAAACCGUCGAUAGCUGCUCCUUCCAUGAACUUUUCCUGUGCUCAAGGUUACUGAGAUGGAGGGAGAGUCCUUUCACCUACGUUGUGAGGUGACGUCCAUUGUAAUCACCGAGAACUAAACCAAAAUGUCUCUCUAAAAACCUCUCCCCAUCGUAUGUGGUUCUCGCACGACUAACUUUUUUGUGAACGCGUGGUGCGAAUGGUCGAAGCCUCAACUCGUCGGACACCACCUGGUCACCAUUGACUUAGCAUGCCUAUUAAUACAUGAGAUGUAGUCUCACUUGGUAAUUAUUUAGCAACUAUUCGCAGUAUCUGUUUCGUCACUCCUACCUUCUGAAAGCUAAUGCUCAUUCGAAAAGUCAAAAUGGGUUACUAUCAUCUUAUAUUUUUAGCUAUAUCGUAUUAUCAAAUUGCAGAUUGAUAUUACUCGUGUCAUGUUUACUUGUCAGAAGAAGACUUGAACUAGUCCAUUUUGGAUGACUCGUUAAUGCAGCUUCUCCGUAUCCAAAUCAAGACGAGUUCUCAAUAUAUACUAUCCUCUCUCUUUCUGCUUCUCUUCCUCGCCAACUCGCUUUGAAUGGUGACUAAGUAAAGAAAUAAUCAAGGAAAGUGUCAGAUUAGGGUGGGUCUCAACGUAAAGGAGCCAUGCUAGUAAAUUAUAUUAACAUAAAAAAUAUAAUCAUUUUUUAUCACGUGAAAAAAUUUUAAUAUCAAGAACUGAAAUCAAAUAAUUAUAUAUCGAAGUUUAGAUGUAUAUGCCUUUUGAUACUGUUCAGAAAAUCUUUAUCUAAACGUCAUUCAGUUUUAAAUUUAUAACGAUAUUAAUAUAAAGAGAACUAGACUCAUAUUUUUAUUUCUUUCUAUUCUUUUAGGAUCACUGUAAUCUUUCAAUCUAGAAUAAAUAAUUAAGAGAUUGAUUUGAUUAAGUUAAAUCCAUUAGCAAAAACUUUACGCAAUAGUAUUUUACCUGAAAACUUCUAAGUUUUAGGAUUGGACCCUAUGAAUCUUUCAUAUCACAAUGUUUUACAUAAAGUAAAUUACUUUAUGGAUGAGUGAAGGAUCGACGCAAGAAAUUUGGAUGUUUACAUGGUUGAAUAUAUCAUGUUAACAAAGAUAUAUUUUUCCUGAAUUACCAAAAAAAGAUAUAUUUCCCUUAUUAUAUUAUAAAACAAUAUCCUUUUAUUUUCAUUAGUCUUUCAUGUCAGCAAAGUUAUCCUUGGCUUAAUUCACCACAAACAAGCUAUCAUUGACCAUCACCACCAUCGGUCAUGUGGCUUCAUAGGCUUAUAAGUAGCGCCAUUGCAGCAACGCUUCUCCUCCACAACCACAUGCAAGAUGGGUUCCCAGCAUCUUCUAUCCUCUAUGCUUCUACUUCUCUUCCUUUCAAGCUUCAUCCAAAUGGCAGCACUUGGACGUACACCAUCAUCGUCCAAGGUCCAUGAGCGUCUCUCUUCCAUCUUAACAAUUGAUGUCCACGGACUAACAUCUCAAUGGUCUCUUCUGUGUAGCUGCUGUACAUAGUGUACAUGGGAGGGAGGCAACACGAAGAUCCAGACCUUGUGACUGCGUCGCACCAUGAUACGAUGUCUUCCGUACUGGGGAGGUAUGCAUUUUUGCACCAUAUUUAGUUUGUGUUCCUUUCAUCUUUCUGUCAUAUAUGCUCGAUUACAGGUUAUUCUAAUUGGUGAUUCAGCAAGGAGGAAGCUGUGAGUUCAAUUGUCUACAGCUAUAAGCAUGGCUUCUCGGGUUUUGCAGCCAUGCUUACAGAAUCUCAAGCAGAUCAAAUUGCAGGUUCUUCCUUCCUUCUUCAAGUUCUAAUAUGAUUACCGCACAACUGAUGAGAACAAUCCAUCGCUGGUUGGCGUCUUGAGAUGAGAAACAGCAUGUUUAUAGUGAAUAAAUCAUGUCUCCUUUGUUGGUUUAAACAUGUAAAUGGAUCAUGAAAAGGAGAAUUGAUGUUCGUGAAAAGUUAUGAGAAAGGAAAUCGUAUUUAUACAUAUACAUAAUUCUCAAUGAAGAUGAGUAAGCGCCUUCAUCAUAUUGCCCUUUUUCUUUUAUUGGUAGAAUUGCCGGAGGUGAUCAGCGUCAAUCCAAGCCGCAGCGUUCCGCUGCAUACUACACGAAGCUGGGACUACCUUGGUCUUGGUUAUAAACAACCCCAAUCCACAGGACUACUUCGAAGAGGCAACUUCGGCGAUGGCAUCAUCAUCGGUGUUGUCGACUCAGGCAAGCGUUAUAUAUUUAUUUCGUUACUGGCAUCGAGCUUGUUGAUUUGACCGUGUCUUGUGAACUUUGUUUGUAUAGGCAUUUGGCCGGAAUCGAGAAGCUUCGACGACCAUGGUUACGGCCCCGUCCCAUCCCGUUGGAAAGGAACGUGUGAAGUAGGUCAAAACUUCACCGUCAAACACUGCAACCGCAAGAUCAUCGGUGCAAGAUGGUACGCCGGAGGCGUCGACGAUUCCGACAUCAGCGUAGACUACCGUUCUCCCCGAGAUUUUCAGGGCCACGGAACCCACACGGCUUCCACCGCGGCUGGUUCAUUCGUGGGUAACGCGAGCUUCCAUGGCCUCGGUGCCGGCGUAGCAAGAGGAGGCGCUCCUCGUGCCCGGCUCGCAAUAUACAAGGCGUGCUGGGGAAACAACAUAAGGUGCCCGGAUGCCGCCCUUCUAAAAGCGAUAGACGACGCAGUGCAUGAUGGUGUGGACAUCUUAUCACUCUCACUUGGGGCCAUACAGUCCCCAAUCUUUGCUUCCAUACAUGCGGUAGAAAAGGGGAUAACUGUGAUCUUCUCUGGAGGCAACGAUGGUCCCGUUCCCCAGACCAUUUCUAAUGACCUGCCGUGGGUGAUCACGGUGGCAGCCAGCACCAUGGAUCGAUCGUUUCCUACCAUCCUAACCCUCGGAGACAACCGAACCGUGGUGGUGCGAACGUGUGGUUUUCACAGACACGCUAAUACAUUUGAAAGUUUGCAUCUAUUUAUAUUGAAUUAAUUGUUCAUGGUUGCUGCGGCAGGGACAAUCCAUCCUCUAUGAAUCCACCGGAGGAUUCAAAGAGCUAGCAGAUGGUGGGAGGUAACUAUAAUUCGAUUAAAUGUUCUUAAAGAAAAGAGUACCUAGUAAUGUGCAUUUGAUCUAUUGUUGCAGUUGCUCGCGGGACGAUCUGAAUUCGAGUGAUGUAGUCGGAAAGAUUGUGCUCUGUUACCAGCUUGCCAUCGCCUCAAGCUCUCCACCCAGGCGACACUUUCCACUGGCUGCCAGUAAUGUUCAGGAAGCAGGAGGGAAGGGCAUUAUCUUUGCACAGUACUCCGCCAACAUCCUAAGCUUCAUCGACGAUAUUUGCAACGGCACCGUAUGCGUCUUUGUAGAUUACGAGAUCGGCAAACAAAUAAAAGAUUAUGUAACGAAUACAAGGUCUGCUCAACUCGAGUUCAGUUUUCCUAAACAGAUCAGAAUUUUCUUUUCGGGAAUAAUAACCACGGAAGGAAAUUGGCAGAUCCCCGCUGGUGAAGGUGAGCCUAACGCAGGAUAAGGUCGGGAGUGGAGUUAUGUCGCCCAGGGUCACAGCUUUCUCGUCGAGAGGGCCGAGUAUAUUGUUCCCAGAUCUAGUCAAGGUAGGUACAAUUUCUAUUAUCUACUAGAAGCUCACAUUGUUUGGUUCUUUUCGAUGAACUGGUGUGCUCACCAUCACUGCCUUUGGACAGCCCGAUAUCACAGCUCCCGGAUUCCUUAUCCUGGCCGCAGUAAAAGAUUCCUAUAAGUUUGACUCCGGGACUUCCAUGGCUUGCCCCCAUGUCUCUGGCGUAGCAGCUCUUCUUAAAGCAGCACAUCCCCAGUGGUCUCCUGCUGCCAUCAAAUCAGCACUCGUCACAACUGGUGAGUAGAUUGACCAUCCUGUUUCUGCAUCGUUCCGGAGUUCUUCUCUGUCUGCUUUCCUGAUGUUAAAGUACAUUACAACCUCUGUUUUAAGCUCAUACGGCCAAUGCAUACGGCUUCCCCAUAGAAGCAGAGGGAGUUCCUCGAAAGCUCGCCGAUCCUUUCGACUUUGGCGGCGGUCACAUCGAUCCUAACAAAGCCUCUGAUCCCGGGCUUAUUUAUGACGUCGAACCCGAAGACUACUUCAAGUUCUUCAACUGCACUUACGGUCCGUCGACCACUUGUGACUUGGUGGACAGUCGGCUGUAUCGCCUGAAUCUGCCCUCCAUCUCCAUUCCCGACUUGAAGAAGACACCACUGACGGUGUGGAGAACCGUAACCAAUGUGGGGGACAAGGAUUCCAUUUACAGGGCAAUGGUGGAGUCUCCUCCGGGUGUCAACAUGGUGGUCGAGCCUUCUCUUCUCCAGUUCAAUGCUUCCACGACGACGCACACCUUCGCGGUGACGUUCACGCCGCUUCAGAUGGUGCAAGGGGACUUCAACUUCGGAAGCUUGACAUGGUUUGAUGAUGGGAAGCACGCAGUAAGAAUUCCUAUCGCAGUUCGAGUGAUCAUCCAUGAUUCCUUCUCUGAUACUUCCUAAGGCAUCUGCUCUAUGUUGACUACUAUGGCAAUAAGUUAAAUGUUGAAGUUGUAUGGGGAAUAAAAACUAAGGUGUGUAAAAUGCUACCCAAAUAUUGAUGUCGGCUUUUGGUUUAGUCAAUUUGUUCUUUUAUAGGCUUGUGUGAGCUACUAAUUUACUUUUGUCCAUAGUGGAUGUAGGUCACGAUCGAACCACUAUAACAUUGGCGUGUUCUUCUCUGGUUUGUAUUUCUAUAUUUGAUCAAUUUAAUUUACUACAAACCUCUUAAUUUGCUUUACAUCCACUAUGCAUCUUUCGUAUUCUUUCAACCAAUUCAACAUCAAAAUUAUAUAAUUUUCAAAAUUACUAAAAGCGAAGUAAGAGGAAUUACUAAAAGCGUCGUCAAAAAUAUUUUGUUUCGAUAAAAUUGGUUUCGUAAAGAUGUUAACUUGAAAUUAUACGGAAACAUAGUGAAAGAGGAAUUCAAUUUGUAAUAAGGUAAAUAGCAAAAAGCAAAUGCAAACCAGAUUUUAGAGUGGUUCAAUCGUCGUGACCUACAUCCACUUUGUCGAUUCCUCUUCCAUCGAAGCCACCAAUAUCCACUAUUGAUCUUCCUUUAAUAGGCAAAGAUCAACCUCCUUCUUACACCCUCUUCUCCUUUUACUGGGUUUAGAAGACAACCCUUGCAAGCACUCAUUCCUCCUAAAUAGGAUUCUAAACUUAGACUUAGAGGAGGGGAUUUCUUAAGUGAUUACAAUAGUGUUUCUUCACUUUUAAACUAUUUGUGCUUGUAUGUUUUAACUAGGGAUGAGAAAGGUAUUUAUUUGCUUCAAGUUGAUUCAAACUUAGAGCCUAAAAACAUCUCAUCCCGGGUUUCCCGGGCACAGGUGGUACCAUUGCCAGUGUUAGUCUAACACUGACACUACACUAGGCGGUACCACCGCUCAGUCUGGUGGUACCACCGCUUGACACUGGGUGGUACCACCGCCUACAGCCUCUCGGAGGUUGUGUUUGGGUGGUACCACCGCCCAGACCGACGGUACCACCGCCCAAAUCGGCGGUACCAUCACCUGACAUAGUCUCGGAGACUGUGCUAUGACGGUGUCACCUCUUGGGGCACUGUUUGGACCUCUCAUUGGGCCCAACACAGUCCUUACAUGGGCCCAACUAGCCCCUAAUUGGGUUGGCCCAAAUCCAAACCCAAUUACGUGCUAACUACGAUUUCUAAGACAUAUUCUAAGCUAAACAAGUCUGUAAGUCUAGUUUCUUCCGGCGAUCUUCCGACGAUUUGUCGGCAAUGUUCCGGCGGACUCCCGGCAAGCUUCUAGACUUCAUGAUGAUCUUCUUGGUGAGUUAUGAUGAGCUUCUUUGGUAAGCUCCUGAACUUCUCGGUAGAACUUCCGACGAACGUCUGGACUUCCGACGAACUCUCGAACUCCCAACAAAAUCGCGUCCUUGACUCCAGGACUUCAUUUUGCUUCAUGCCUUGCUAUCGUAGUUAAUCCAGCAUAUGUAAAAACACACUUCGAUCUAGACAAUUAAUACUAAGCAUUAAUCAUAUUGUCCGGCAUGUCUUUGGUCCCUCGAUGCUUCGUCCGAUUCUUUUGUGCAUCGUCCUCUCUUGCGGCCUAUUGCCCAAUCGGCCAAUUGACUCCGCAACUCUGAUAUCCUUGGCUCAAUAUCCGCUCUUCUUAGCCCGAUGCCAGAAUCCAUAGCCCGAAGCCUUCUGUCGAUUCAUCGACCGAUCCACCAGCUCGACGUUCAAUCUUCUGAUAUGUUUUCCUUUGGCCCAACAUGAUUUUUCCUACUUUAAUUGUCUCAUCCUGAUCGAAGCAUCCUGCGUCACUCAAAACACAGAUUAAAACAUAAACACUUACCAAUUGGUUUCAUUAUCAAAAUCUGAGAUUCAAUAAUCUCCCCCAUUUUGAUGAUGACAACCAAUUGAUGACGAAGUUAACCUUAACUCCUAAAAUUUAAACAAACUCCCCCUAUCAAUAUGUCAUAUUGAUAGAACCUUGAAUUCAAGCAAAAUUUAAGUCAUUGUAAAUUUCAUCUUAAAUAUUUGCAAUACGUCAUUAUGCAUAACAUGAUCAUACUUGGUGAAGACCAACUAUCCUUUUAAUUUUUUUUUGAACAUUUUCAUUAAACAUGUAAUUUUCAAGAAAAAAUUAUAUAUAAUUUUAUGGAUUGGUAUGUUUUUAUCCAUUGCACUAAUUCACCUCCCCCUCUUAGUGCCGACCUUUUUCCUAACAAUUGGUAUCGGAGCCUUGUUUUCUUAUUUGGUUUAACACCCAAAGAGAAAUGGCUCUUUUUGACUUUCAAGAGGGUCACUCUCUCAUUCGUCUUCCAUUUUUCAAUGGGACGGACUAUACUUAUUGGUAUCGAAGCCUUGUUUUCUUAUUUGGUUUAACACCCAAAGAUAAAUGACUCUUUUUGACUUUCAAGAUGGUCACUCUCUCAUUCAUCCUCCCUUUUCCAAUGGGACGGACUAUACUUAUUGAAAACCUUUAAUGAAAGUUGUCUUGCUUUCACUGAAUCUUGAUUUAUGGCACAUAGUCAAAUUUAGUUUUCAAAUGUCUUCUCUUCUAAUAAACCAUUAGAAUGAUUUGGAGAAGAAGACUUUUUCUCUAAAUGCAAAGGAUAUGAAUGCCUUAUUUUGCACCUUGGACAAAAACGAGUUUAAUCGAAUUUCUAUAUGUAAAACAGCUUUCAAAAUUUGGCAUACUUUCGAAAUCACACAUGAAGGCACUAGCAAAGUUAAAGAUUCGAAAAUCAACUUUUUGAUGCAUAAUUUUAAACUAUUUCAAAUGAAACAAAGCGAUACUAUUGGAGACAUGUACACCCGUUUUAUGGAUGUCGUCAAUAGUUUAAAAGCUCUUGGUAAAACUUUUUUGAAUUUUGAACUUGUUAGUAAAGUUUUACAAUCACUUUCUAAAAAUUAGAAUUCGAAAGUAAUAGCUAUUCAAGAAUUAAAAAUUUUGAAUACUUUUUUUAUCGAAGAACUUAUCGAGUCUCUAAUGACCUAUGAAAUGACGUGCAAUGAAUAUAAAGAACUUGAGAGCCACCUUAUAAAGAACAGGAAGGAUUUGGCAUAUCGAACAAAAGAAGACCACUCGAGCAUAAGCUCAAGUGAUGGUGAACUUGAACUCCUUACUAAUAAAUUUAAAAAGUUUAUGAAAUAAAAAUUAAAGAACAAAAAGAACAUAACUACUUGCUUUGAACACAAGAAGAAGAACACAAAAUAGGAUGAAUCGAGCUCCUCUGAAGACGAUGAGAAAAUCAACAAAGGCGAGGUGACAAACUACACCUUAACAGCUUUCGACAAUGAGGUAAUCAAAAUGCCUUUAAUUUAAUUUGAAAUUACAUAAUACUUUUCAUGAAGUUAUUUUUUUAUUUAGAAAAUUAUAUAUAAUUUUUUUCUUGAAAAUUACAUGUUUAAUGAAAAUGUUAAAAAAAUUAAAAGGGUUUAAGGAUCACGCUUAUCUUUCUAGUAAUUUUGAAAAUGAUAAUAAAAAUUAUAUGUUUAUGAUAAACAAAAUGAUUUUGAUUAAAAAUACUUUAUGAAAUCAUGUUUCAUGAUAUCAUGCUUAAUAAAUUUAUUUUUUGAAAUUAUGCAUGAUGAUUUGACAUAAUGAUGAGUUUUAGGUAAUUUAUGGUUUAUUGAUCUUAAUGAUUUCCAUGAUGAUAUUUGCUCUUUUGAUUUUAAACUAUGAUAUAUGGUUUUAAUACUAAAAUAAACUUGAGCAUGCUUAUAUGAAAUCAAUCAUUUAAAAUGUAACACAUAAAAAGAAAAAUAUAUUAUUGGAUUUAAAAUCAUGAAUCUAUUUAUGUUAUAAAUUUUUUAAAUCAUGAAAUUGAUUUUGAUGGUUUGAAUUUAAUAGGUUUUAUCGAAAUCAUGAUCUUGAUUUCUCAAGAUUUAUUACAUAAAAAUCCUUCAUAAAUCAAGAUUUCUUACUCUUUAUUCUCUUGCAUUUUGAGAAAAUUUUCAAUAUGAAUCAUAAGAGUGCUUAUGCAUCAAUUGAAAUCUUUUUCUCCUAUGUUUCCUUUUACGAUUUACUAAAGAGAAUAUCUUUUUCGAAAUUCAUGACUUAAAAUUUUUUUUGAAUAUCUUUCAUUAUUUGAUCUCCUAAGAUUUUCUUUUGAUUAUUUAUGAGGAGGUUUUUCAAAAGAAAUCAUGCCUUUUGGUAUUCACAUGAUCUUAUCUUUCAUAAUAUGAUUUUUAUGUAAUUUCUUGUAUUCAUGAAAUGUUUAUCUCAUCACCCAAUUAAUUUUUCUUGAUAUUCUUCAUGUGAUGAUAUAAAUUUAUGCAUAAGAUACUCAUGAUAUUAUUUUGAUGCUAUGAAAUGAUAUAAAUUUUGUAAGCUUAUGAGUAUCAUAUAUGCUAUGAUGGUUGAUUUUUAGUAUCAUGGAUAGAAUAAGGAUGAUAUGUAAAGUUUUAAAAUUAUGUAUGUUUUAAUUUGAAAAUAUAAUGAUGCAUAAAUAAGAUUAAUACUUUACCUUUGUCAUGCUUUGAAAAUUAUUAUAGAGGAAAAAAGAGAUAUAAAAUUAUAUUCUUCCAUUCUUUUUGACAAUAACAAAGGGGGAGAUAGCUAGCUUGCACAAGUCAAGAAAAUGUAAAAACUUGCAACUUGUACAAUUGCUAAAGAAAGCAAGAAUCGCUAGCUUGAACACUUAAACAAGAAAGCUAUCUUGUAUUUACUUUCGAAAUAUUGCUAGCUUAUAUUUUUUAAAAUGAUAUAAGAAUUUGCUAGCUUGCAUGAUAUAAAACUUGUUAUCUUGAAUAUUACCCAGACUUGCUAGCUUUCAAUCCCAAGAGAAGCAACAUUGCUAUCUUGAACUUGCUAAUUUACACAUUUUGCUUAUCUUAAGAAGCAAAAUAUGCAAAUUUACACAUCUCUAAUUACUGCUAGCAUGCAUAAUGUAGAACUUGCUAUCUUGAACAACACCAAGACUUACUAGCUUGCAUAAUGAUAAAACUGAAAAUUAUAUUUAUUAUGUAAUGAUUUAAACUUGAAUUUCUAAACGUAUGAGAAUUGAACUUCUCAUUUUUGUUGAUGACAAAGGGGGAGAAGUAUGAUCAUGUUAUGCAUAAUAAUGUGUUGCAAAUAUUCAUGAUGAAUAUUUACAAUAACUUGAAUUCGGUUUGAAUUCAAGGUUCUAUCAAUAUGGCAUAUUGAUAGGGGGAGUUUGUUUAAACUCCGGGAGUUAAGGUUAACUCCGUCAUCAAUUGAUUAUCAUAAUCAAAAAGAGGGAGAUUGUUGAAUCUCGGAUUUUGAUGAUGAAACAAAUUAAUAAGUGUUUAUGAUUUGAUCUGUGUUUUUAGUGAUGCAGGAUACUUCGAUCAAGAUGAGACAAUUAAAGUAGGAAAAAUCAUGUUGGGCCAGAGGAAAACAUGUCAGAAGAUUGUACGUCGAGCCGGUGGAUCAGUCGAUGUAUCGACAGAAGGCUUCGGACCAUGGAUUCGGGUAUCGAGUCAAGAAGAGCGGAUAUUGCACCAAGGAUAUCAGAGUUGUGGAGUCAAAUGGCUGAUUGGGCAAUAGGCCAUAAGAGAGGACGAUGCACCGAAGAAUCGAACGAAGCGUCGAGGGACCAGCAGAUCGAAGUGUGUUUUAUAUAUGCAGGAUCAACUACGAUAGCAAGGCAUGAAACAAAAUGAAGUCCUGGAGUUAAGGACGUGAUUUUGUUGAGAGUUCGAGAGUUCAUCGGAAGUUCUGUAGGAACCAGCAGAGAAGUCUCAGAGCUUACCAAAGAAGCUCAUCGGAACUCGCCAAGAAGAUCAUCAUGAAGUCUAGGAGCUUACCAGGAGUCUGCUGGAACAUUGCUAAGAGAUCAUCGGAAGUUCGUCGGAAGCUCGCCGGAAGAAACCAAGACAUAGGGACUUGUUUAGCUUAGUAAAUGUCUUAGAUUUUGUAGUUAGCAUAUAAUUAGACUUGGAUUUGGGCCAACCCAAUUAGGGGCCAACUGGGCCCAUGUAAAAACUGUGUUGGGCCCAAUAAAAAAGCUCAAAUAGUGCCCCAAGAGGUAACACCGUCGUGGCACAAUCUCCGAAAUUGUGUUAGGCGAUGGUAUCGUCAGUCUGGGCGGUGGUACCAUCCAAACACAACCUCCGAGAGGCUGUAGGCGAUGGUAUUGUCAGUCUGGGCGGUGGUACCACCUAGUGCAGUGUUAGUGUCAGACUGACACUAGCGGUGAUAUCGCCUAGCGCAGGCGGUGGUAUCGCCCAUGCCCAGGAAACCCGGGAUGAGAUAUUUUUAGGUUUCAAGUUUGAAUCAACUUGAAGCCUAUAAAUACCCUUCUCAUCCCUAGUUAAAAAACAUAAGCAUAAAGAAUUUAAAAAGGGAAAAACGCUGUAGAAAUCUCUUGUGAGAAUCCUCCUCUAGUCUAAGUGUUAGAAUAGUUUGAGAGAGGAGUGAGUGCUUGUAAGGGUUAUCUCCUAAACCUGGUAAAAGAAGAAGAGGGGUGUAAGAAGGAGGUUGAUCUUUGCCUAUUAAAGAAAGAUCGAUAGUGGAUGCCGGUGGUCUUGACGAAAGAGGAAUCAGCAGAGUGGAUGUAGGUCAUAACGACCGAACCACUAUAAAAUUGGCGAGUUCUCUAGUUUGCAUUUACUUCCUGUAAUUUACAUUAACCGCAAACUGCCUUCAAUACGCUCUUACUUCGCUUUCAAAGUUAAGCAUUUUCGAGUUUGGUUUUAUCGUAAGAAAGGAUUUUCUAAAACCGAUGUUUUUAUCCACUGUACUAAACCCGAUAAAAGAAAAAGAGGGGUGUAAGAAGAAGGUUGAUCUUUGCCUAUUAAAGGAAGAUUGAUAGUGGAUGUUGGUGGCCUUUAUGAAAGAGGAAUCAGCAGAGUGGAUGUCGGUCACGACGACCGAACCACUAUAAAAUUGGCGUGUUCUCUGGUUUAUAUUUACUUCCUGUAAUUUACAUUAACUGCAAACUGCCUUCAAUACGCUCUUACUUCGCUUUCAAAGUGAAGCAUUUUCGAGUUCGGUUUUAUCGAAAAAAAAAAUUUAAACUGAUAUUUUUAUCCGCUGUACUAAUUCACCCCCCCUUAGUGCCGACCUCUUUCCUAACAAAGACAACAUAAGGUUUAAUAUAAUAUGAUAAUAUUUUCACUAAAUUAAUUUUUUAGAAAAGUAAUAUGUAAAGUUAAGAAACUUAUCACCAUCUCUAUCCGUCUUGUUAUAAUAUGUGAAAAUAUUUAUUUUGUAUGUUAUUUACAUUUGUCAAAUUUCAAGUGGGUUAAAAUAAUUUUAUUUAUCUCCAUAGAAAAUUAUCUUUACGAGGAGGAGUUCGUGAUUGGAAGCCGUUGCAUUUGUCAAAAGGAUUGAAAUAAUGGAGAGAGAGAGAGAGAGAGGAAAUCCUGUACAUAAAAUGGAGAGGACACUUCAAGUUACACGUACGAUUUUUUCGAUAGAGCAAUUCUCGUAGAACAUCCAUAAUUAUAUGAAAAGUCUCUUUAACCCUUAUAAUAUUUAAACAAUUUUACCUAUAGCCUCAGCCCUAGUAACGCCUCUAUCCAUGGUUAGCCGAUCAACCUGUUUAUUUUCACUAUAGUCAUUCAUGACCCUAGGUAGGAGGGAACACAAGGGUUAUGACCACCUCUACGAACCCUACUGACCUUCUCCCUUCUUGUGGAUCUAUCCAUCGCCUUCUCCUUCUUUGAACUCAUCUUCCUCCUCCUUUGUCAAUGAUUGUAAGCACAACAGUUAUGCAAGGCACGAGGUAGAGGGGGAUAGUUGGUGGGGUGGGGUGGAGGUAAAAGAAUGAUGAAGGAUGAUGACCGAUAAGAAUAUAAUUAUUAUUUAUUAAAAAAAAAGAUACUCUAUGAAUUUUUUUUUUAAUUUAGGGUGUCCAAACCCAAAGUUAUAGGUUUUUUUCCAAAAAAUUAUAUAUUUUCAUAUGCUUUAUUUGUUUGAGAAUUUAGAAUUUUUUGCCAUCCAUUUUGGAUCGUUAGGUCAAAUGGACCCCUCAAUUACAACUACGUGAUUGACUUGAUAAACAUGGCACAACAAUAAACGCUUUAUUAUGAUUUCCAUCAUUGAAGUGGAACACAUCAGAUACAGAAAAGGGAACAACGUCCCUUUCAGAUUUGUUGAAAGUUCAAUUAAAUCUUAUAUUCCAGACAAUUUGAUUUUGAGAGUCUUAUCAUAAUUAAAAGUUUUAUUAAGUUAAAUUAGGACAUGUUCUCAAUAUAAGCUUUGCAGGUGCUGCUGGAGAAUAUUUAUAUCGAUGAUGAAUAUAAAUGGAUUGGAGAUUAAUCCGAUAUUACAAAACCAUCAAAAGAGACGGAUGAUGAAUUGGGUCUACAGUUUUGAUGAGUCAUCCCCUCACAACCUCGCGACUGCCAUUAUUGAAAAGAAUGUGUGAAUUGAUAAGACCACAUUAUUAUUGACUCUAGAGAUAUAACAAUAGAAAGACUAAGCAUUUAAGCAAUCGGAAACCCUCUUUAAAAAGACCAUGUAUUAUUAUUGACUCUAGAAAUAUAAUAUAAAAAGACUAAGCACUUAAAGAAUUGAAAAUGCCCCUUUAGAAAUAAUUAAAAAAAUAUAAUUAUAAUUUUUUUAUUUCAAACUAUUAAGUAUCGAACAAAAAAUUCACUAACAUCAUCACAUAAUGUGAAAGGAGAAGACUACGUCAAUAAGAAACAUUGUUUUAUGUGUUCCAUCUCGUGUUUUUCUUUUAAUUGAAAGAUAUUAUGCUCACAUAUGAACCUCAAUUUGACAUCUAUUACAACACUAACCAAUCUUAAUAUAUUAUAAUAAAUGAACUUAUAAAGUGUGUGUCAUUGAUAAAUGUUUUUUAUUAUUUAUUUCUUUAAAAUCUUAAUCAAUUUCUAUAUAUUCAAGCCAUUCAAUAAUAGUAUAAACGACUUUUAUUAUUUGAGUCAUCAAGUUCCAAAUCUACAAGUAAAACAAAUUAUAAUCAUGCCUAAAUGUGUAUGUCACGGGUAAUCAACGUAGCUCCAAAGGAACCUUACAACUAUGCCCACAAUCUUAUUAUUCUAGUUUGACUUUGAGCUGUGGGGUUCCUUUCACGUAGUCGACCAUCACCUUCGUCUUUAUCUUGGUAGCUUAUAAAUAGUGCCCACUGUCCGAAUACUGGCACUCCAUAGCCGAAGAUGGGAUCGCUUCUUAUUCUAUCCUCCAUGUCCCUGGUAAUCUUGCUUCUCAUUUGGAGCUACUUCCAAAGGGUCCCGCUUGGAGAUAACCCAUCAACCAAGGCGAGUGUCUCUCUGCCCUCGCCUACUGCGAAGCUGUACAUUGUGGAUCUUGGAGAAAGACGAUACGAAGAUCCACAGCUUGUGAUUGCCUCCCACCAUGAUAUGUUGUCUGCCGUGCUGGGAAGGUAUACAUUCUCCGUCACAAUUCGCCGCCCCUGCUAUUCUCUAAACUUUCCUUUGUGCGCUAAGGUUGGUUGGUCGGUGCACUUUGUGUCGUUUCAGCAAGGAAAAGGCUCGCGAUUCAAUUGUUUACAGCUACAAACAUUGCUUCUCGGGCUUUGCGGCCACGCUCACGCCAUCUCAAGCACGCCAAAUUGCAGGUCCUUAGCAUGCAUUCUCGUACCGAAAACAGGAAAAAACUUGAAUGAAUCAUAAGAGCUAGAUAAUAACUUUUAGUAUUAUGGGUAACCUUGAAAUCGAGAUCAUGAAGGAUCGAUAUCAAGCUUUCAAAAGCUUCUCUUAUUGGCCAUUGAUAUAUGAUCUAUCGGUAGAGAAAAAAGGAAAGCACUAAUCUGUAUGAUAUGCAUAGUUACAGUAAUAAUUCCAUUUGUACUGUCGUUUUGGUGUUAGAAUUGGCGGAGGUGAUCAGUGUCAGUCCAAGCCGCACUUUUCCUCUCCAUACCACGCGAAGCUGGGACUACCUCGGCCUACGGUAUAGCCAUCAGCAACCCACAGGACUACUUGAGAAGGGCAAGGAAGGCGAUGGGAUCAUCAUCGGAGUUGUCGACACAGGCAAUUAAGCCGCAUCUGUUCACCACUGAUCGCCUAAUUAUAUGUCACCGAGCAUGUCAAUGGGAGUUUUUCUUACAUAGGCAUCUGGCCGGAAUCGAGAAGCUUCAACGACGAUGGUUAUGGCCCCGUCCCAUCCCGUUGGAAAGGAACGUGUGAAAUAGGCGUAGAACACCCCAUCAGAUGCAACCGCAAGAUCAUCGGUGCAAGAUACUACAGUAAAGACGCCGACCCGUCUGAGGUCGCGCGAGACUACGACUCCCCCCGUGACGCCAAUGGCCAUGGAACACACACCGCUUCCACCGCAGCAGGUUCUCUGGUAAGCGAUGCAAGCUUCCACGGUCUCGGUGCCGGUACAGCAAGAGGAGGCGCUCCUCGUGCGCGGCUAGCGAUCUACAAGGUGUGCUGGGGAUCAGGAAGAUGCGGGGAAGCCGACGUACUACAAGCCAUAGAUGACGCGGUGGAUGAUGGAGUGGACAUCUUGUCACUGUCAAUCGGUGGGGAUGGCUACCUUCCGGCUUCACUAGGCGCGGUAAGAAGUGGCAUGACGGUGAUCUUCUCCGGCGGCAAUGACGGUCCCGUCACUCAAACAUUAAAUAACGACGUUCCAUGGGUCAUCACCGUGGCUGCCAGCACCAUCGAUCGCUCUUUUCCGACCGUCAUAACCCUCGGAGACAAACAAACUGUGGUGGUAUGCUGCGCAGAUGUGUUGCAUGCUCAAAUUAAGGCUUGGCAACUUGGUCAAGUCAUUGUUAAUUGGUUUGCUGACGAAAAGCCUGCUGCAGGGACAAUCGCUGUUCUAUGACUCGGCGGAUGUAGGAUUCAAAGGCCUAGUAGUGCCUGCAAGGUAGAUGCUGUCAAUCACAACUCUGUUUCUCCCCUUUAUUUAUGUUCAGAUGUUAAUUCCGUCGUCCAUUGUAGUUGCUCUGCAGAGGACAUACAUUCCAGAUAUGUAGUAGGCAAGAUUGUGCUGUGCGCUGACAGUGGGCCUGCUGGGAACUUCGACGACGUUUUAGGAAUCCUGCAGGGAGCCAAAGCCGCCGGUGUGAUCUUUGGACGAUUCCCACGCAGCAACCUCCUACCUUGCGAACGCUUCAUAUGUGUCCUGGUAGACAAAGAUGUACACGAGCAAAUAUGGAUAUAUGGUGAAAAGACGACAAGGUUUGCUUCCUAGAUUUCUAUUCCCGUUAACGCGUUGCAGCUAAUUAACCACGGGUGGGUUACCACUGGCAGUUCUCCGGUGGUGAAGGUGAGCCCAGCCUUAACCUCGGCCGGGAUUCCAAUCACGUCGCCCAGGGUGGCAGCUUUCUCCUCCAGGGGGCCGAGUAUAUCUUAUCCAGACCUGGUCAAGGUACGCCCACCCCGCAUCCAUGAUCUCAUUCUUGCAUAUAUCUUCAGCUGGGACCAACAAAGAAACGUGCUAGCUUAUUGUUGUUUACGUCCUUCGAUCAGCCCGAUAUCACAGCUCCGGGAGUCAGUAUCUUGGCCGCAGUGGAAGAUUCUUAUGAAUUCAUGUCCGGGACUUCAAUGGCCUGUCCUCAUGUAUCUGGAGUUGCAGCUCUUCUCAAAGUAGUGCAUCCGGAAUGGUCUCCAGCUGCCAUCAAAUCAGCACUUGUCACUACCGGUGAGUAAANNNNNNNNNNNNNNNNNNNNNNNNNNNNNNNNNNNNNNNNNNNNNNNNNNNNNNNNNNNNNNNNNNNNNNNNNNNNNNNNNNNNNNNNNNNNNNNNNNNNNNNNNNNNNNNNNNNNNNNNNNNNNNNNNNNNAAGCAGAAGCUUCCCUUUAAGGUGACCUUCACGUCGCUUCACAAGGUGCAAGGAGGCUUCACUUUCGGAAGCUUGACUUGGGUGGAUGAUGGUGGGAACCAUACCGUCAGGAUUCCGAUCGCGGUUCGGGUGAUCAUCGUAGAUUCCUUUUCUGACACCUCCUAGGGUCCAAGUUAUAAGCUCUGGCCUGAGCAUUCGAGACAUGAAGUAAUAAUGGAACCGAGUUUAUAUAUAUGUUGCUGUAGCAGUAAGUUCAAU